UUAUCAUAAUAUGCACACGUAUUCUACCUUAUUUUCCUUUUGAAAGUUUGAAUUUGGUGGUUAUUCACUAUGCCAAACACGACAUCUACUUCAUCAUCAACCCAGGGUUAUCAGCCUACACCCUCCUAUGGAAUCACUUGACAAGCUUACUGAAGUCAUGCACCAUUUCUUUUGUGGAUUCGGAUGAGAAAAAGGAGGAAAAAGAAAAGCUUUAUAUUUUGAUCGACCCAUGCCACAUGGAGUUAUUUUCCUUUUGCAAAUUUCUGUCAGCAUGAACCUGUUAAUUUGACUUUUCAUCCUCCAAUGUAAAUACUUAACUCCUUUUAGAUGUGUAUAUAAUGGAGCUCUAUGUAUUUUUAUAACUGUGCUGUUUUAGUUAAAACAUUAUAUUCAUUUAUGCAUGGGAGGCGCUCCGCAGGAAUUAACUCCAACCAAUGUAGAUCAGAUUCUCUGCAUUUUUGGAGAGCUUAUGUUGUGUUCAGAUCUCUAUUUAGCUGGAUGUUGGCAGCCACUGACUCUAUGAAUAGCAAUAGCAGAGAACAUUGAGAAAUUUUAUUGGUCUGUUGGUAGAUAAAGCAAAAAGCAAAGGGAUAGAGACAUCAUCAUCUGGGUGGAUGUUGUUAUGCUGCAUGCAAGAAUCUCUAUGAUUAUCACAUAUAAAGGAAACACUCGAUGGAUGUCUAAUCGACCAAUGGGACAUUCAACUAUUUUCCAGGGCUUAGUUUGUGACAUGCAUCUCUACCAAGUCACCUAUUGGCUUAACUCCUUUUUUCCCUCUUUGUUCAGAUGAAAGAAGUGGAGCAAUCAAAAGUGAGAGUGCAGUCAUCCUCUAAUAUAUAUAUAUAUAUAUAUAUAUAUAUAUAUAUAUAUANNNNNNNNNNNNNNNNNNNNUAUAUAUAUAUAUAUAUAUAUAUAUAUAUAUAUAUUGAAACAUAUAAUUUUUUGUAUCAUAGCCAUCUGUGCAUUGUUAUUCUCUGCCCUAGGCAAAUCAAAAGGCUUUUGGGCUAUAUUGUUUUCUCAGCCUCUCUUCAUAUUUUUAAUACAAAAAAAACGUCAGUUGGUACCAUGUAACAUUUUCUGUGAGUUUUUUUAAUAUAUGAUCCUUGUCAUUUGUUUGUCAUAUGAUCUUCCAAAGAUCUAUGUGGAUUUUAAAUUCCAUCAAAAUCACCUUGUUCCCAAGUGGUUGAUAACAACUCUUUAAAGGAUCUGCUUAAUAUCUAGGUUUAAACUGACUGUUUCAUAUGCCUUGGCUCCCUUGAGUCUAUCAAACAUUCAAACCAAAGUUUCACCAUCCACUUUCAGGUCAGAAAGCAUCUGUCAUUUGUGGCUAUCAGAUGCAUUGCUGCAGCUUCCGGAACAGAUGGAACCAACAAGAACUCAGGUUAAAGAAUAUUUUCCUUAUUUCUACUACACCAUAUCUUUGAGCACUUAUCAUCUCUUAAUGGCUUGGUAUCUGCAUUCGCGAACAAUCUGGCAUUUGUGAACAUGUUUGUGAUCCAUAUCCAUGCUGUCAUCUGAAUGAACAAAUGCCAGUGAUGAACACAAUUUUUUUUAUUGUACUCUUGGUUCUCUCCAUUGAUGGUCGUGGACACGAGUGCAACCAAGCCGAGUUUGAUCAAGCUUGUGUCUAAGCUUGGUUUGAAAUUGAUUUCGAGUUCAAGCUUGACCUAUUUAAUGUUAUUUCAAGCUCAAUUUGAGCUUAAGUUCAAAUGGAGCUGAACACAAGUUUACAUGAUCAGCUUGAUGAUUCUAAAUAAACUUGAACUCAUCUUGAGAUUAAAUCAAGCUUGGCUCACGCUUCAAUAAAAUCUUGAUUAAUGGUUUCAAGCUUGCUUCAAAAACGUUUGAUUCUAGUCUAAGUUAAUAGUUAAUUAAUCCAAAGAAGAAAAAUCUAUAGCAACUAAAAUUUUAUUCCAAUGAUCUAUUUAUAUAUAAAACCCAUAUUGUAUAAUUUCGAUAAGUCUGGGUGUUAUUAAGCGGAACUUGAUUGAGCUGAGACAAUUAUAGACCUAGCUUGAAAUUAACUUCGAGCCUAUUUUGCUUGUUCUAGCUUGGUUUGUUUAGCUUCAAACCAAGCUUGAUUCAAACUUUUCUUGGGCGAUCCAUUUGCUUGACAACCCUAUCUGGAUAGCCAUAAAGGUUCUCCUUGGAUCAUUGAAUAGACUCUUCAGUUGUCAAAUAUCAACUUGAUAAAAUAUCCUGGAUCAUUAAAUUUUCAGUAGCUCAAAUCUACUUUCUUCAGGUGCCUUUGGUAUUUUGCCUCCAAUAUUCUAAUAAUGGUAUUUUGCCUUGAAUGUUCUAAUAACCCUGUGGAGAUGCAACAGGAUAAGUAUCACAGUUCUUAUCUUUUUCCAAAAAGUGAGAUCAGUAGGUGCGCUCUUCUCUAAUAAGUGAACUACUUCUCUGAAUUUGUGCAUAGCCAUUUUGUUCACAUCCAGCUCCUGGCUGGUUGCAUGUCAAGAUAUUUGUACAUCAGAUGUCAACAUUUCAAUUCCUUGUUUGCUUUCAUUUCAAUUCCUUCUAAUAAUUGUUUUGUAUCAAUUUUGGAGUAACAGUAGAGCACGUAAAAGUUCCUUGAAAUCAUAGAAUUGAAAAUUCAAUCUUUGAGUCUGAUUUUUUUUGUUUCUUUCUCUUUCUUAGGCUAUUACAUAUCCCGGCUCAAUGCUUAUUUCAAUAAGUAAUCGAGUGAAUAAGCUUUUACAAAUUCUGCAGAAACUUUUUUUUAAAAUAUCAACUUCACGAGAAAAGAUCAGAUUUUUUUUUUUAAGAAUACAUGUUUAAAGGUUCUGGGAUGAUUUUCGCCCUAGGUAUAAGUACAAGAUGGGCAAUAUAUAAAUUUAAAAUAAUUGACAUAUAUUUAUUGAACUGUAGAUACACAUACUUUUAAUAUUUGAUACUGCACCUCUCAUAUUUAGACACAGGACUAAAAUCAUUGCACAACACCUAAAUAUGAAUUCUUCCUAAAAAUAAAAAUAAAAAUAUGAUAUAUUCUUAUAAAAUCAUAAUUAAGUAAAAUUUUCAUGCAUCUAAAAGUUUUAUCCUUUAAAUUUAUAUUUUUAAAUUUUAUAAAUACAAAAAAUUGAUUUUUGGAAAUCAAGUAAUCCAAACUUUAGGUCGAAUAUGAUCGCAGGCAUGAAAUGGGCUGCCUCCUUUCUUUGUUGAAGUCUAAAGGCAAAGAAGUUUCUUGCUGUGUUUCUUUCUUUUUCCUCAACAUUAGUCUUGGACAUACACAUCUGCAAUACAUAUCUUGCAAUGAAUGGCCACAAGUUCUUAAGGAUGCUUGGUCCAAUAUCUAUGUUUAAGAAUGUGUUCAUCCUCAAUGUACAGUAGCUACUCACUAUGUCACCUGUAUUGGAUUUAUACGAUUCGAAAAAGGAGCUAGAGUCUAGAUAGCAAGAUACAUCUUGGCCUUAAAUUCCUUCUACCAUAACAAAGGCCUAUAUUGCAUUUGCUUCUACAUGCCACACUUGGUUUGCUUCUAUUCUUUCCUCAUGUGCUCUUUUGGCCCUCUUAGCAGUUGACUACUAAUUUGACAAGAGAUAAAUUUGUUUGAUUGAUUAUGAUACAAAUUAGUUACAAUAUUUUGCACAAUUUUUUCUCUUCUACCGAUUGGGACUUUGCCUAAUAUCUUGUGUCAUCUCCUCUUCAUUGGAGGUUAGUGGCCAAAAUUUAAGAGGUCUAAAACGUGUGAAUGUGACAUGGACAAAUUGAAAAGGUGCCUGGGAGACACUUCGCCCUGAUGAUUGAGAACUAUUGCAAUUUUGUAGUGCCAUGCCUAAUCUGAUGCAUGCUUUUGGUGCUUGCUCUAGUGCUUUUUAGCUUCGUAUUCGGAUCUGAAUCACGAUCUUGGUAUGGAAGGUUUGCUUCUAGUGGUGCCUCUGCCUUUGCUUUAGAGUGAAGUCAUUGAUAGGGUACUCCAGUAGUUCGAUCUGUAAGUAUGGUUUUAACAAGCUUGAUUCUUCAUCCAAGAAGAGGUCUCAAUAGAAGUCAAUUUACUAUUUUUCUUUUUGAAUAAACCAAUCGUCUAGUCAAUGGAUGACCUCCUACCUCCUACCCUGGCAUCUUUUNNNNNNNNNNNNNNNNNNNNUUUUAAGCCCGUGCAUGGGAGACACUUCACCAUGAUGAUUGAGAACUGUUGCAAUCUCGUAGUGCCAUGCCUAAUCUGAUGCAUGUUUUUGGUGCUUGCUCUAGUGUUUUUUAGCUUCGUAUUUGGAUCUGAAUCACGAUCUUGAUAUGGAAGAUAUACUUCUAGUAGUGCCCCUGUUUUUGCUUCAGAGUGAAGCCGUUGAUAGGGUACUCCAGUAGUUCGAUCUAUAAGUAUGGUUUUAACAAGCUUGAUUCCUCAUCCAAGAAGAGGUCUUAAUAGAAGUCAAUUUACUCUUUCUCCUUUUGAACGAACCAAUUGUUUAGUCAAUGGAUAACCUCCUGCCUCCUGGCCUUAUAUCUUUUUAAGCCCAUUAAGCUGAAACAAAAUCAACCAAAAUCUGAUUUAUUCAUAUGUUUAUUUGUUCUACUCCCGUUCUAAUUAACAACAAAUUUUAAAGUGGCCCAGAAGAGACAUGCUUCUUUACUAUUAUGAAUCAAAUUAGGUAAAUGCCCUUAUCCGAGCUGCUACAUAUUUUGUUAAUUUUCCAAGAAUUGAUCCAAAUUGGAGAGAUUUUGUCCCAAAAAUCUUCAUGCAUCACCUUGGGUAUGUAGAGCCUUAAUCUCACGUAUGUUAAUAAGUAUACACGGUUACAUCCUUGGGCAUGUGUGCUCUCAUUUUCUUCAUCAAGCCCCGUUCUUGACCCGUUCAUCCCAUACAAAUCAACCACGAGAAGAGAUGUGGAGUCCUCCAGCGGAAAAAUUAAGCUGGACACGGUCCAUGGACGAUGUUACUAUGUUGGAGCAUGAAACAUUAAGAAAGCAAAUGGGCCACUACCUUGGCCUGGAUUUGAAACUUUUUGGGCCCGACCUCGCCUUUGCUCUGCUGCAAAUUUUGGAUUUAAGAUUGAUAUGCGCAUCCAUAACACUUCAAGGGACAGCACUUUGUGUUCAGAAGCGUCACAUGGAAUGAUCGUUGAGUAGAGGAAUACAUGAACUCGGACUGGACCUGUCCAAGGCCUGGUAAGAACUGCACCCUGCCCCUAUAUCAUUUUAUUGUUAUUAUUUCCAUGAUAUGUAAUUUGUAUUUAUUCUAUAUUGACUUUGGAGGAUUAUCGGAUCCACCACGGAUUGAUUUGGUCAUCUUGGACAGGUCUGGAUGAGGUUCGGAAGCAAGAGCCACGGCUUGAUAGUGAUGCCCAACUUUCAAAAAUCAUAACUUUUCCACAUGAUGCCACAUCCUAGGAUUUCACUCCAAAAAGGCUAGCCAGAAGAUAUUAUUUGGAUUUCUUGGCCCUGUAUAAGUAUCCAAGAUUUACCUAGCACAUACAUCUUCACAUACUCCGCGCAUUUUAGUUUCAGCAUCUCCACUAGGCUAAAUGUCCAAAUCUAUUUAAAUCUAAUCACAAGCACCACAAUCAGCUUAUGGUCAGCCCUUGUAAACUCGUUUUGCAGUGACCGCUAGUCCACAUAGGUUAUGGAUCGGAUCCACUCUGAUAGCAGUUUGUAACAUCUCAGGACCUCCCUCCAAAAAUGCUAGUCGGCAGAUAUUAUUUGGAUUGCUUGGCCCCAUAUAAGUACUCAAGAUCUACCCAAUGCAUAGCCGAUAUAAAACCAAACAUAUUCCGGCACAAAUCCUCACACAUAGCAUCUGAUUUCAGUGGUUUUUUUCUUUUGAAGUUGGAUAAUAUUUAGAUUUUUGGGACAAAAUCUCUUCAAUUUGGAUCAAUUCUUGGAAAUUAGCAAAACUUAUAGCAGCUCGGAUAUGGGCAUUUUAUCUUUUACCCAAUUUGAUUCAUAAUAGUAAAGAAACAUGUCUCUUCUGCGACACUUUAAAGUUUGUUGCUAAUUUGAUGAGAGUAGAACAAGUAAAAGGACAAAUAAAUCAGAUCUUGUUUCAGCUUCAUGGACUUAAAUAUUAACAAAAAUUCACAGGAUCUGAAUAAUCAUAAUUGUCUAAAUUUGUUUCUCCCUCUUGACUCUGUUUUAACAUCUCUGAUGGAGACUAUUUUUGUGUUUCUUAAAUAUGCAGAGAGAGACCAUUUUGUUUUUCAUUAUUUAUCUUUCCAUCAGAGAUAAGGGAGUUACAGCAACUUCUCUAGGAGUCAAUUACUGUAACCAUCCAGUAAUCAACCACGACUGGUCAUGUGGGUCAAAAAAUCUAACAUUCUCCUACUUGGCCUAUAUGAUCAUAAUAUUUAUUUGAACAGAAUGAGAUAACAUUAGGCGCACAACAUUCCAAUCCACAAUUAGUUUGAUCAUGAUAAUACCAUAAUUAAACAACUUACUAGUGCGAGUCAUGGCGGUUCCAUAUCUCCAAAGUGACAAAGUUCCUUCCAAGUACCACAACAUCAGCAAAUUAUUUAACCACAGUCCAUAAAUGAGAAGUAUCCAUAAUGGUCAAACAUUAUGUCUUUGUUAGAGACAAUUCUUGUGGUCAUACAUUCAAACUCAUGCAUGUACAACAUUUGAAGAAUAGAAAAAUCAGAAACAUAAUUAAUUAGCUUCAAGUGUCAAAGAAAUAAACAUAAUACGAUCCUCAAUUAACAUUAUGGCAACAAAGACCCAUUCUUUCAACAUGCUCUUUAAUUGUCUUUGGUUGUAAACCUUUUAUCAAAGAAUUUGUAAUGAUGAGCUCUGUCCUUUUAUUUUCUAUAGACACAUAUUGUUUCUAAACUUCCUCCUUGACAAAAUAUUUAAGCUCAAUGUGCUUAGAACCAUUAGAAUAUUUGUCGUUUUUGGAGAAAUGAACAGCUGCAGUAUUAUUACAAAAAAUUUUCAGCGGCCUGGCAAUAGAAUUGACAAUCUCAAGUCCCAAGAUAAAGUUACGCAGCCACAAACCAUGAACCGUGGCCACAUAGCAUGCCACAAAUUCUGCUUUCAUGGUGGAUGAAGCAGUGCUAGUCUGUUUGGCACUUUGCCAUGAGAUUGCUCUUUCAGCUAAUAGGAACAAAUAGCCAAAUGUUAAUUUUUUACUAUUUACACAUCCAGCAAAGUCUGAAUCUGAAUAGGUAAUCAUCUCAAGACUAUCAUACCUUCGAUAUAUAAGCAUGUAAUUCUUGUUCCUUGCAAGUAUCUCAUCACCUCCUUUGCAGCUUUCUAGUAAUCCAUGCCUGGAUUAGUUUGGUAUCUGCCUAGCAUUCCAACUGCAAAACUGAUGUCCGAUCUAGUGCAGGUCUGAGCAUACAUCAAACUUUGAACUGCUAAAGCAUAAGAAAUCUUUUCCAUCUGCUUACGUUUUCAUUCAUUCCGUGGGCAUUGCAUGAGACUAAAUUUAUCCCCUGCUGAAUUGGAGCAACAUUAGCUGAACAGUUCUCCAUACCAAAACUCUAGAACUCUGUCUAUAUAUGUUUUUUGAGACAAUCUUAACAAUUCAUGUGAUCGAUCACAAAAUAUUUUAGUGCCUCAUUCAUAUCUUUCAUUUCAAAUUUAUUUGAGAGAAAAUUCUUAGUUUCAUGCAAUAGGCCAAGAUCGCUAUUGGCAAGCAAAAUAUCAUCAACGUAUAGAACUACAAAAAUAAACUUGCUCCUACUGACCUUCAAGUAUAUACACCAAUCGACAGCAUUUUUUUAAAAACCGAAGGAAGUAUUGGUAUCAUUGAACUAAUGAUAUCAUUGUCGGGAAGCUUGUUUAAGUCCACAUAUUGACUUCUUUAAUUUGCAAACCAUGUGCUCUUUUUCUUUUAAUAGAAAACCUUCGGGCUGAUCUAUAUAGACUUCUUCAUCUAAAUUUUUAUUUAGAAAAGCAGUUUUUAUAUCUAUUUGGUGCAACUCUAAGUUAUAAUGUGCAACCAAAGCUAUAUUGAUUUUGAGUGAGUCCUUUUUAGACACCAAAGAAAAUGUCUCUUUAUAAUCAAUACCUCCUUUCUGAGUGAGACCUUUGACUACUAGUUUGGCUUUAUAUCGUUCAGUAUUAUCCUUUAAGUCGAGCUUGGUCUUAAAGACCCACUUACAUCCAACUGUCUUACAACUUUCGGGCAAAUCAACAAUAUCCUAGACCUCAUUCUAUUCCAUUGAUUUCAACUCAUCAUUCAUGGAAUCAAUCCAUUUUGCAGAAUCAACACCUUUUAUGGCUUGUUUGAAAGAAACUGGAUCUUUUCUUGUACCUAUAUCAAAAUCAAAUUCUUGUAGAUAAAUCAUAUAAUCAUCUGGAAUGGCAGAUCUUCUUUCUCUCUAAGAUCCUUAAUGUCAUCCCUUGCGAUUCUUCUACAACCUGUUCAGUGGUGAUAACUUCAUCAUGGAGUGUCUGGUCAUUAAUUUGUUGUUCAAUGUUGUCAAAUUAUGUGACAACUGUAGAAACAAUGAUUUCUUAGAAAUCAUAGGUAAAGAGACUUAUACCCUAACUUGUUGAAUUUCUACAUUUCGUGGUUUAUCACUCCUAUUAGAUUCACCAUUCUUAAUGAAUCUGAUAGUACCGAUCUCUAUAAUUCUCAUACUAUGGUUAGGACAGUAAAUGCUAUACCCAUUGGAAUUUUUGGGAUAACCGAUAAAGUAUCCACUGAUCAUUCUGAAAUUUAAUUUUUUUUCAUGCGGAUUAUAAAUUCUAGCCUCCAUUGGACAACCCUAAACAUGCAAGUGUCUUAAACUCGAUUUUCUUCCUGUCUACAACUCAAAAGGAGUCUUUAUAACUGCCUUACUAGGAACCGAUUUAAUAUGUAUACAAUGGUCUUAAUGCCUUCCAUCGACAACGAUAUGGGUAAUAGAAAAUUAUUCAACAUACUUUUAACUAUAUCUAUAAGUGUAUGAUUACGUCUUUCAGCUACACCAUUUUGCUGUGGCAUUUUCGGCAUAGUGCAUUGAGCACGUAUGCCAUGCUUUUCUAAGAGUUUAGUAAAUGAGUCAGAAUGUUGUCCUGUUUCAUCAUACCAACCAUAAUAUUCACCACCUCUAUCAGACCUGACAAUUUUUACCUCUUUAUCUAAUUGCCUUCAACUUCAAUAAUGUACACCUCUAAGGCAUCCAGCGCUUGAGAUUUUUUGUGCAACAAAUAGACAUAACCAUAAUGUGAAAAAUCAUCAAUAAAAGUAAUAAAAUACUUCUCUCCACCAAAUGAUGGGAAGUCAAAAUGUCCACAAAUGUCUGUAUGGAUAAUUUCAAGAAGUUCUUCACUUAUUGUGGCAUUUUUCUUUGUGUAUUUAGUUUGCUUUCCUUUAAUGCAAUCCACACAGAUACUGAGAUAGGUAAAGUCUAGGUUUAACUUCUAUUCCCAAUUUUGAAGAAAUAUCCUUCAACAUCAAGUUUAGAAACAGAAGUCAAAUUUCUAGAAAUAAAAAGAAUAUAAAGAGUCCGAAGCAAAUCUAAAUGAUAACCAGUACUGAAGAACAAACAAUAGGUCCCAAUAGUUAUAACUGAAACUCUGACCCCAUUCCUCAUAACAAUAAAACUGUCAUUUGGAUUUCGCAUCCGGGUUGUAAGGAAUCCCUACAUCGUAUUUGAAACAUGAACAUUAGAACCUAAAUCGAACCACCAAGUAUUAGAAGGAACUUCAGUAAAGUUUGAUUCAAAACAUAUGUAAUUCAAAGGCUCACCCUUCUUUUCAAACCAUACCCUACGUUUAUGGCAAUCUUUUUGAUAGUGUCCCGAUUUUUUGCAAAAAUAACAUUUAUCAUUAUUUUUUUUCUUCUUGUGACCCUUGUUAUCAUGAUGAGGCUCUUUACUCUCAUAUGGUCCACCUUUUAUGCCCUUUUUUGGCUUCUAUUUCUUUUUGGCUCUAUGACUUAAAAGGUUGACAGAAUGAUGUCUUUGCUGUUUAAGUCUUGUCUUUUCUUGGACAAGCAUACUGGUCAAUUCAUUCACAUUCCACUUAUCCUUAUUGGUGUUAUAGUCAAUUUGAAAUGAUCCAUAUUAAGGAGGCAAGGAGUUCAAAAUAAAUUGAACCAGAAAAGAUCCACAUUCAUCCCAAGAGCCUUCAUCUUAGCAGUUAUAUUAGUCAUUUCAAAGAUGUGCUCAUGCAUCCUACAAGUACCAUCAAAUUUCGUGGUGAUAAGCUUAGCCAUUAAUGUCCCUGCUAGAGACUUAUCAGCAAAUUGAAAAUGUUCUUCCACAGUUUUCACUAGUGCUUAAGCACUGUCACAUUUAGGAAGUGUUGACUUAAUGUUGUUCGCUAUACUCAUCCGCAUAAACAUAAUGCUUAGUCUAUUCGAUCUUUUCCAAAACUUAUAGAAAGCCUUUUCUUCCGCACUGCUUGUAUCAGUAAUAUCAAUCGGUUUCUCAAUUAGGACAGCUAAAUCAAGAUCCAGAAUACCAAGGUGAAACUGGACUUGUUCAUUCCACUUUGAGAAAUUGGUUCCAUUAAAGAUCGAAACAAAAGAAGCCUACGAAUAAAGCGAAACAGGCAUAGAUACUGCAAUAAGAAAAUCAACAAUAAAAAAAUACUUGCAACAUUAAUACUUGCAAUAAAAAAAUGCUUACAACAUUAAUACUUGUAAUAAGAAAAUUGCUUAUAACAUUAAUACUUUGAGUUAGCAAUAAUAAUAAUGAAUAACAUAGACAGUGUUACCAUAAUAUAUCUUUGGAUAGUAAUUAUGAAACACUAAAUUACUAUUAUACUGAUUCACUCAGAAAUAAUUAAUGAUAUAGGUCCAAAUUCAAAUAGGCCUGUCACCUUCGAGCAUCCAAUACCUAUUAAAUCAAGGAUACNNNNNNNNNNNNNNNNNNNNNNNNNNNNNNNNNNNNNNNNNNNNNNNNNNNNNNNNNNNNNNNNNNNNNNNNNNNNNNNNNNNNNNNNNNNNNNNNNNNNNNNNNNNNNNNNNNNNNNNNNNNNNNNNNNNNNNNNNNNNNNNNNNNNNNNNNNNNNNNNNNNNNNNNNNNNNNNNNNNNNNNNNNNNNNNNNNNNNNNNNNNNNNNNNNNNNNNNNNNNNNNNNNNNNNNNNNNNNNNNNNNNNNNNNNNNNNNNNNNNNNNNNNNNNNNNNNNNNNNNNNNNNNNNNNNNNNNNNNNNNNNNNNNNNNNNNNNNNNNNNNNNNNNNNNNNNNNNNNNNNNNNNNNNNNNNNNNNNNNNNNNNNNNNNNNNNNNNNNNNNNNNNNNNNNNNNNNNNNNNNNNNNNNNNNNNNNNNNNNNNNNNNNNNNNNNNNNNNNNNNNNNNNNNNNNNNNNNNNNNNNNNNNNNNNNNNNNNNNNNNNNNNNNNNNNNNNNNNNNNNNNNNNNNNNNNNNNNNNNNNNNNNNNNNNNNNNNNNNNNNNNNNNNNNNNNNNNNNNNNNNNNNNNNNNNNNNNNNNNNNNNNNNNNNNNNNNNNNNNNNNNNNNNNNNNNNNNNNNNNNNNNNNNNNNNNNNNNNNNNNNNNNNNNNNNNNNNNNNNNNNNNNNNNNNNNNNNNNNNNNNNNNNNNNNNNNNNNNNNNNNNNNNNNNNNNNNNNNNNNNNNNNNNNNNNNNNNNNNNNNNNNNNNNNNNNNNNNNNNNNNNNNNNNNNNNNNNNNNNNNNNNNNNNNNNNNNNNNNNNNNNNNNNNNNNNNNNNNNNNNNNNNNNNNNNNNNNNNNNNNNNNNNNNNNNNNNNNNNNNNNNNNNNNNNNNNNNNNNNNNNNNNNNNNNNNNNNNNNNNNNNNNNNNNNNNNNNNNNNNNNNNNNNNNNNNNNNNNNNNNNNNNNNNNNNNNNNNNNNNNNNNNNNNNNNNNNNNNNNNNNNNNNNNNNNNNNNNNNNNNNNNNNNNNNNNNNNNNNNNNNNNNNNNNNNNNNNNNNNNNNNNNNNNNNNNNNNNNNNNNNNNNNNNNNNNNNNNNNNNNNNNNNNNNNNNNNNNNNNNNNNNNNNNNNNNNNNNNNNNNNNNNNNNNNNNNNNNNNNNNNNNNNNNNNNNNNNNNNNNNNNNNNNNNNNNNNNNNNNNNNNNNNNNNNNNNNNNNNNNNNNNNNNNNNNNNNNNNNNNNNNNNNNNNNNNNNNNNNNNNNNNNNNNNNNNNNNNNNNNNNNNNNNNNNNNNNNNNNNNNNNNNNNNNNNNNNNNNNNNNNNNNNNNNNNNNNNNNNNNNNNNNNNNNNNNNNNNNNNNNNNNNNNNNNNNNNNNNNNNNNNNNNNNNNNNNNNNNNNNNNNNNNNNNNNNNNNNNNNNNNNNNNNNNNNNNNNNNNNNNNNNNNNNNNNNNNNNNNNNNNNNNNNNNNNNNNNNNNNNNNNNNNNNNNNNNNNNNNNNNNNNNNNNNNNNNNNNNNNNNNNUAUGAUAGAACAAAGAUCCAUGAAGUCAGCAAGUUAUUAUAAAUAUAAGAAAACAAAACCCUCGUCACAGCCCGCCAAUGCUAGUCCUAGCAGAACUAAGGAUAACCAUAAUUAUUACCAUCAUCCAUCCUCAGUAGCAAGACUAUGAGCAGGGAAUGGGAAUCACGCGGAUCGAAGAAACAGAACCAGACGACGCGGAUCUACUUUUCCAGAUCUAGAACAAGCAGAGCCACAAUGGGCGCACUCGUCCCCUUCCUCUAUUAUUUGCGGACGGAAAGCGGAAGUCAAAAGCUACAGUCGGUGAUGAGAAAACUAGAUCUUUGGGUGAAAUGGUGUAGUGCUCGUUCUUUCGUUCCCACGAUGGUUGGGCCCCGUAGCAUUACUCUUUCUAGGGAACGGUGGAUGCUCUGCAGGCAACAGCUGGAUCCACCAGCCGUAGAGAAGAGUGCAUAGAUGAGGAAGAAUCCAAAAUCCGAAAAAUUGAAAAAAAAAAAAGAAGAGAGAUAGUUCGAAAACACCAAAAUAUCUCAAAUACAACAAGAAACGAAUCACCCCAUUGCAGAAUGAAAACAACGAGAAAUGAAAAUGAUAGAGGAGUUUAUCUCGUUCUGGAUCCGCAAUAAUAUCAUAAUUAAAAAAUUCAUAAACCCGCUCUGAUAUCACAUGUUAACAAAAAUUCACAGGAUCUGAAUAAUUAUAAUUGUUUAAAUUUCUUUUCAUGUUAUAAAUAAUUGUGUAUCUGGAUCCAUUAGAAUAAUCUGAACAAUGAAAUUCGUUAUUUCUCCCUCUUGACCUUGUUUAACACUUGUGAUGGAGACUGUUUUUGUGUUUUUUAAAUAAGCAGAGAGAGAGACCGUUUUGUUUUUCAUUAUUUAUCUUUUCAUAAGAGAUAAGGGCGUUAUAACAACUUCUUUGAGAGUCAGUUACUAUAAUCAUCUAGUAACCAACUACGACUGGUUAUAUGGGUCAAAAAAUCUAACAUUAAAAAGAUGAGAAGGUCAUCCCUUGACUAGACAAUUGGUUGGCUCAAAAAUAAAACAGUCAAUUGACUUCUAUUGGGACUUCUUCUUGGAUGAAAAAUCUAAGCUUGUUAAAACUUUGACUUCUAUUGAGACCUCUUCUUGGAUGAAGAAUCAAGCUUGUUAAAAUCUAACUUAUAGAUCGAACUAUUGGAGUGCCUGAUCAGCUACUUCACUCUAAAGAAAAAGUAAGGGCACUACCAGAAGCAUACCUCCCGUAUGAGGCUAAGAAGAACUAGAGCAAGUACCAACAGCAUGCAUCAGAUUAGGCAUGGCACUACGAAAUUGCAAUAGUUCUCAAUCAUCACCGCAAAGUGUCUCCCACGCACCUUUUCAAUUUGUCCAUGUCACAUUUCCAUGUUUUAGACCUCUUUAAUUUUGGAGUUUUUUGCAUGGAUACCCUUCUAAAUAUCGAAUUUUGCAUGGAUAUUCUUCCAAAAUUAAUAUUUGCAUGUAUACCCUUGUAAAACUCUAUUAUUGUACAAAUGCCUGUAAUAUAACGGUAUUAAAAAAAUCAUAUUUAUAUUAAUUAAAAAUAAAAUAAAAUUUUAAAAUUACGCAAUUGCCCCUAUCUUCUUCUUCUGCUAUUAGGAUCACGAUCUAUUUGCAUGUCUACCCAUUAAGGAUAUUUUAGUCAUUUUAAUUUGAAACCAUUAAUUUUUUAAUAUCGUUAGAUAGCAUGGGUAGAUAUGCAAAAAAACAAAAAUAAAAAAAGAGUAGAAUGACAAAACAAGUGGUUGACGAAGGUAUACAUGCAAAAAUCAAUUUUGGAUGGGUAUUCAUGCACAAUUCGAUAUUUAGGAGGGUAUUCAUGCAAAAAACCCUUAAUUUUGACCACUCCCAAUGUGUAGAAGAGAAAAAAUUGUGCAAAAUAUUGUAAUCAAUUUGUAACAUAAUCGUGCAAAAUGUUUAGCAUGUAGAAGCAAAUGCAAUAUAUGCCUCUCUUAUGGUACAAGGAAUUUAAAGCCAAGAUGUAUCUUGCUAUCUAUAGCUUCUUUUUUGAAUCGUAUACAUCAAAUACUGGUGACAUAGUGAGUAGCUACUGUACAUAGAGGAUGAACACAUUCUUAAACAUAGAUAUUGGACCAAGCAUCCUUAAGAUCUUGUAGCCAUUCAGUGCAAGAUAUGUAUUGCAGAUGUGUGACUAAUGAUGAGGAAAAAGAAAGAAACACAGCAAGAAACAUCUUUGUUUCAGACUUUAACAGAGAAAGGAGGCGGCCCAUUUCAUGCCUGUGAUGAUACUCAAACCUAAAGUUUGGAUUACUUGAUUUCCAAAAUCAUUUUUUUGUAUUUCAAAAUUUAAAAAUAUAUAAAUAUAUUAGAGUGGAUCUGAGUGGAGAUCCACUCUAAUGUAGCCAAGUCCAGAUCUCUCUCUCUCUCNNNNNNNNNNNNNNNNNNNNNNNNNNNNNNNNNNNNNNNNNNNNNNNNNNNNNNNNNNNNNNNNNNNNNNNNNNNNNNNNNNNNNNNNNNNNNNNNNNNNNNNNNNNNNNNNNNNNNNNNNNNNNNNNNNNNNNNNNNNNNNNNNNNNNNNNNNNNNNNNNNNNNNNNNNNNNNNNNNNNNNNNNNNNNNNNNNNNNNNNNNNNNNNNNNNNNNNNNNNNNNNNNNNNNNNNNNNNNNNNNNNNNNNNNNNNNNNNNNNNNNNNNNNNNNNNNNNNNNNNNNNNNNNNNNNNNNNNNNNNNNNNNNNNNNNNNNNNNNNNNNNNNNNNNNNNNNNNNNNNNNNNNNNNNNNNNNNNNNNNNNNNNNNNNNNNNNNNNNNNNNNNNNNNNNNNNNNNNNNNNNNNNNNNNNNNNNNNNNNNNNNNNNNNNNNNNNNNNNNNNNNNNNNNNNNNNNNNNNNNNNNNNNNNNNNNNNNNNNNNNNNNNNNNNNNNNNNNNNNNNNNNNNNNNNNNNNNNNNNNNNNNNNNNNNNNNNNNNNNNNNNNNNNNNNNNNNNNNNNNNNNNNNNNNNNNNNNNNNNNNNNNNNNNNNNNNNNNNNNNNNNNNNNNNNNNNNNNNNNNNNNNNNNNNNNNNNNNNNNNNNNNNNNNNNNNNNNNNNNNNNNNNNNNNNNNNNNNNNNNNNNNNNNNNNNNNNNNNNNNNNNNNNNNNNNNNNNNNNNNNNNNNNNNNNNNNNNNNNNNNNNNNNNNNNNNNNNNNNNNNNNNNNNNNNNNNNNNNNNNNNNNNNNNNNNNNNNNNNNNNNNNNNNNNNNNNNNNNNNNNNNNNNNNNNNNNNNNNNNNNNNNNNNNNNNNNNNNNNNNNNNNNNNNNNNNNNNNNNNNNNNNNNNNNNNNNNNNNNNNNNNNNNNNNNNNNNNNNNNNNNNNNNNNNNNNNNNNNNNNNNNNNNNNNNNNNNNNNNNNNNNNNNNNNNNNNNNNNNNNNNNNNNNNNNNNNNNNNNNNNNNNNNNNNNNNNNNNNNNNNNNNNNNNNNNNNNNNNNNNNNNNNNNNNNNNNNNNNNNNNNNNNNNNNNNNNNNNNNNNNNNNNNNNNNNNNNNNNNNNNNNNNNNNNNNNNNNNNNNNNNNNNNNNNNNNNNNNNNNNNNNNNNNNNNNNNNNNNNNNNNNNNNNNNNNNNNNNNNNNNNNNNNNNNNNNNNNNNNNNNNNNNNNNNNNNNNNNNNNNNNNNNNNNNNNNNNNNNNNNNNNNNNNNNNNNNNNNNNNNNNNNNNNNNNNNNNNNNNNNNNNNNNNNNNNNNNNNNNNNNNNNNNNNNNNNNNNNNNNNNNNNNNNNNNNNNNNNNNNNNNNNNNNNNNNNNNNNNNNNNNNNNNNNNNNNNNNNNNNNNNNNNNNNNNNNNNNNNNNNNNNNNNNNNNNNNNNNNNNNNNNNNNNNNNNNNNNNNNNNNNNNNNNNNNNNNNNNNNNNNNNNNNNNNNNNNNNNNNNNNNNNNNNNNNNNNNNNNNNNNNNNNNNNNNNNNNNNNNNNNNNNNNNNNNNNNNNNNNNNNNNNNNNNNNNNNNNNNNNNNNNNNNNNNNNNNNNNNNNNNNNNNNNNNNNNNNNNNNNNNNNNNNNNNNNNNNNNNNNNNNNNNNNNNNNNNNNNNNNNNNNNNNNNNNNNNNNNNNNNNNNNNNNNNNNNNNNNNNNNNGACUUCCAUGAAACAUCAAGAGGGAAGAUCCCCAUAAUGCUCAGCCCACUCAAAACGGACUUCAAAGUAGCUCAAGUCCAAAGCUCUCUGGGCUCUAUAAAAAGGCCUUCACAUAAGCGCCAGACAUCACGAAAAAAGUUUGUUAGCUACGACUACUUUGUUCUAGUUCAAAUGUUAUAUUGAAAUCCCCCCACUUGAGAAUCCAAGGCAGACCUAGCAUAGAAUCAUACAUACUACAUUAAAAUGAGAUGUAACAUGAGUCUAAUCUUUCCAUCUCAAAUUAUUUAUGCUUUUUAAUGAAUCAAGCACUAGUUUUAUGUCCAAACAUGAGAAGAUUAGAAAGAAAACAACCAACAAAUUAUAUCACUCGUCAGAUGUUCGACAGCAACAGCCGGUACACGCUACAAUCAACUUGAGCUAGGUGGGACAAAUUGAUAAGAUAACUAAUGUGGUACCACUUUUCCAAAGGAAUUGAGCCCACAAAAAGUAACAGACUAAACACACUCUCCCAUUAUAUGUCACCUUCAUCAAGUGUCUCCCUUCUAGGUCCCACCUAACACCUCUGUGUUUCUACAGAUACAACACUAGUGGUGUGCUGCGAAGUAAGGUUCUCAUGUGAAACCUCUUGCACAAAAGAACCCGGAAAUGCGCAGCAAAACCUCCCCUCAAAGACUUGACCAAGCCACCUCCCCUUAGCUUUCUCCCCACUUCUUCCAGCCUGCAUGCCUUGACAAAAAAGAGCCCUGGGAUUCCAUCCUCCACCCUCACCGAGGAGACUUGGAAGAAGAAGCUUUUGGCAACAUGGGCCUAAGGAAGUACUCCAUGGAUGAAGACAUGAGUCUCUGCUUCCAAUCUCCUCCUUUCUUUGAAUGGCUCAUGCCACCUUCCUCCUCCUCAUCCUCACCCCUAGCAUCAGAAUGCUUGCCUCUUUUGAGUAGGCUUGAAGAGCCCAAGAAGACCAUCAAGGAAGAAGAUGACUCCUUGGGAAAGGAUGUCCCCCGAGAAAAGGUCGCUGUGGCCUUGAACAUUGGACUGCCAGGUGCUUCAGGAGAGCUUGAUGGAGGGACCGAUCCUUUGUACUCUAAGAAAGAAGAAGAGAAGGAGAUGGAGGGAUCGCCGGCUUGCGAUUCGGGCAAAGAAAAAAGAUUUUGGAUUCCGACGCCAGCUCAAAUCCUCACAGGGCCGUUGCAGUUUUCCUGCACCGUGUGCAAUAAGAGCUUCAAUCGGUACAAUAAUAUGCAGGUUGGCCUCUCAACAGUUCCUUGAAAUAUAUUUGAACCUUUGAUUUGCUUCCUUUUUCCUAUUACUUUCUAAUUAUGGUGUCUGAAUGUGUAAAACUUUAUUCUUCCAAACUUGAAUCCAUAGAAGACUAAAUAUUCUUCUUAAAAAUACGAAGGCCAAUUAUUUUAUUUUUCAAUUUUUAGAAAUUUAAUUUUUUAUAAUUUUUUUUCUUUUCUUAUUGACAGGAUUUAUAAGUUGUUUGAUGAGUUUUAUCAGAUCUUUUGAGAAUUAGGAAAGAACUGUUUAUAAAUUUAUUUUAUCCUUCAAGCAGCAUCAACCUCUUGUGAUGCUAAGCAUAUAUUCCAAAAUUCUGAAGUGAAGAAAAUGUAGAUUUAAUUGCAGUCUGACAAAUCGAAUACUUGUAAUUGUUUCACUUUCUCUAUGCUUCUAAUCACAUAUGCAGAUAAUAUUUUCAGGCUGGUCCAAAUUUUCUUUCUAUGAUUUUAUUUUUUUGAUUUUCACAAGUGUUCCACAAACAUAAUAAUUUUAAUACGAAAGAAAUAUCUGAUCGAAAUUACAAUUUAUGUAGCCUUUUUGUUAUUUUAUCUGUUUAUUUCAUCUUGUUUGAUCAGAUUAGUUUUAGUGACUGAUUGGCAGUGUCCUUGGCAAACACAUAGCCAAAGAAAAAGAUAGAUCAAGUAAUUAAUAACUAUGUUUGAUUAAUCAUGUGAGACCAUCUGAUUCUUCUCCAUUUAUAUAGCUAAGUAUAAUUGGUUUGUGAUAUUUAUUGUUAUAGAUGCAUAUGUGGGGCCAUGGAUCAGAGUAUAGAAAGGGACCAGAAUCUCUUAAAGAUACACAGCCGAUGGCAAUACUCAAACUUCCUUGCUACUGUUGUGCUCAUGAGUGCAAGAACAACAUCAAUAACCCUCGAGCGAAGCCACUGAAGGACUUCAAAACCCUUCAGACUCACUACAAGAGGAAACAUGGAUUAAAGCCCUUCAAGUGUAAGAAGUGCAGCAAGCCAUUUGCUGUGAGAGGAGAUUGGAGAACCCAUGAGAAGAACUGUGGCAAGCUGUGGUUUUGUACAUGUGGGUUUGAUUUCAAACACAAAAGGUCGCUCAGUGAUCAUAUAAGAUCAUUAGGAAAGGGUCACUCUCAUUACCUUCCUCCAAAGAUUUCUGAGGUAGAGAAGGAAUGCAUCAUAAGUUUUGAUGAUGAAAUGGUCAAAGGAAAAUAUCGUUCUACUGCAUGAAAGUUCGAAGAUAUUAGGCUUAUGUAAUCUUGUGCUCAGCAACAAAAAAAACUCUAGGGAUGUCUUUGCUUUAGAAGACUAUAGAAGGGAGUAGUUUGUUGUGGAGCACUAGAAUAAUGAUGAGUACACUAUUUAAAAUGUGGUGUCUUGGUUAGUUUAUGCAGCAAAUAAAAGAGAGAAUACCUAUGAAAAGAUUGUGAAGUAGCUGAAUUUUCUUCUGUCUCAAGGUUAUAAGUGCCAUAAAACUCUGUGGCCAAAUAACUCAUGUGUAAUCUUUAUAUUGGAGAAAAUUUCCCAAAUUCACAGACUAUUUGAGUCAUUACAAUGAUGAACUUUUAUUCAUUGCAUAUUUCUAUUACUCCCGCGCAAAUAUAUAUUUUCUUGAGCUGCAAUUCAACCAUAAGUAAGAUCGAUGGAGGUAUGAUCAUACAUUGAGAACAUGAACAUGUCAUUAGAACUAGGUCAAGUGCACAAAGCAUAAAUUAUGGAUGCAAUCAUUUAAAACCCAUAUUUUAUGCCUUGUUUUUAUAGUCUAGGUAAUAAACUUUUUCCAGUCCAACUUUGAGGCCCAAAGGCACCUGACUUAUCCAAUACUACCCCAUUUUGUGUACACAUGCUCGGGGUACAUCAAUUGAUGUGGUUUAAUUGCCUUGAAGGUACCUUUGACUGCAGGUGUUCAUGAUCCUUGGCCCCAUGAACUAGGAAUCAAAACAAUGUUCAUUGUGAAUUAUGGUAUGUUGACUAAUUUGCAAUGUGAUUCACAGAUUCCACCAGGUAUAUGUCUGGUGUCCAGGUGGUGGGCAUCGUAUUCCAUCUACUACUCUUGCAGACAUCUCUAGGGUAAAUUGUCAUCCAAAUAAAAACAAAAAUGAAUUCCAUGUGUACUAGGUUGAAUGAGUAUAGGUGUCGCUACCCUUGGUAAAUUCUACCAAGUACACAUUAGGUUUGAUUGGUGAUUUAUAUGUUCAUCAAAAUUUAGAAAACUAAUUACAAGAGAUAUUUAUUAGCCAUCAUAGGCAUUUCAUUUCAAAAUAAAUACGGGAAAAUUAUUUUUGACUCCCUCAACUUUAUCCACUUUUCAUAUGCACUCCUUCACUUCAAAUUUUUUUAAUGAGAUCCCCGAUAUUAUAUUUUGUUGUUGUUUUGAUCCUUCUAGCCAUCGUUUCUAGAAUGUUGUUGACAACCAUCCACAAAGGAUGAAAAUAUGGGUAUAGGGUAGAGAGUGGAGAACGCCCAGUAUGAGUUCAAUUGAUUCUCCUCCCUUCAAAACCCCAUCUUCCUCUUGGUCCUUCAUAUUAAUCAAAGCUCUAUGUGAGUCUCGCAUAUCAACAAUCACCCACAACAAUCCAAUGCAAGCUCGUGAGUCAACCAUAGCUUCCUCUCAGUCCCCUGCCUCUAAUUUUCUCUAGCUUUAGUACCAAUUCUCUAACACUUGAUCUCGAUCUUAGUAGUUCCAGGUCUUAUUAGGUGAUACGUUAACCUGGAAGUCUAUUCUCUUCUUUGCUUCAUCAAGGACUAGUUCCUCAAAUGCUAGGUCUCCUCUUGCUUCAUCAAGGGAUUGGGUAUCUCGACCUCGUACAAGGAAGCCAAGGGGUGCCACAGGACAUCUGGCAGCAUGGGCAAUGGUGAGGGCAUGGUGGAUCAUCCCACAACCGAUCCUAAAGAGAACGCUCAAGAACCACAUGCAACACUACCACAUGUCACAACCCAUUGCUCUCUAUCUUCCUCCACGAGUCCCAUGAUAUCGGCAAGACCUCCUGUUGGCGCUCUUUCCAUCCUGUCUAGAUGUUUCGCAAUGUCUACUGGUAGAGUCCCAUUCGGUGCUGAAUUCAUUAUUUCUUCGAUCUUCCAACAGCUUUUCGGUGGAGCAUUGAGAUCACACUCUCUAUAAUGCAUUCGAGGAUUCUUGAUCAUUAGUAAUUAUGGGUACCAGUACAAAUCGACCCUUGUGCUAUUAUGUUGCUCCCUCGUACAUAGAAUACGCAUCAGAUAAAAAACUUUUGGAAUAAUCCUUCGAUAAGGUUGCCGCCCAACCCUUGCGACAUUUAUGGAUGAUAUUAUAAAGUCAUUAUAUUUUUGCCCGUUGCUCUUGUGUAAGCGAUCAAGAACUAAUGUUGAUAAGAAUUUACUGACUUCACCAAUGAUCCUCUAUAGCGCACCAUAACCGACAAUCUCAAAAUUCGAUCGGUAUUGACUGAAACAUCUCUCGAUAGUUUUGUCUGUUGCAACCUUGCUGGCAUGACUUCUACAAUACCUCCAUCAGUAGAUUCCAAUGUUUCUAUGGCAUCAUCUUCGAUUAUUAUCUCCUCAUGAGUCGAAGUCUCCAAUUCUGAUUCUUCAUACACUAUAGUACUUCCAUACAUUGGUUGAUAAGCUAAUUUGUCUAUCGCAAGGAUGGGUUCGACCAUCUUUGUUGUAGAACUCGUCGGAAUGUACUGUAGCUUUGCAUAUCGACUUUACACGAAGUAAACAAGUUUUUCAAAUUGUUCAGCUACCAAUACCAAAGAUGUUGUAUACCGCUCUAAAGUGAUCUUAGUAUAGCGGCCGCUUUCUCUAUAGCUAGUUUUUUGGCUUGCUUUGACAGUGUGAUAAUGACUAUACGAUGUCCCACAAGGCAUGCUACAAGGCUUGUUGGUGCUUUUUCCAUCUCAUCCGGAUAUGUCAUAUGGCAUGUCAGUGAUCUGGAUGUAGAAGAAAAGACUGAAGAUAAGCUAGAUACUGAGGAUUGGUGCGUGUGGGCUUGUCAGUGGUGUCAAAUCAGCCGAAAAGCGAUCAAAUAGAGAAUAGAGAGUAGUAUCGAUUUAGGUGCCUUAAUUUUCAAAGACUUUCGCCACCAUCAGACCACCGUUCAAUGUAUAAGACGUAUAGCAUUAGACUACUAUAAAAGGGUGUAACGCUAGGCUACAGUAGAAGGAUGUAGUAUUGGGCUACUGUAGAAAGGUAAGUUAUACCUACUCCUAUGAUAAAAGAUAAAGUUAAGAUAAGAUCAAGAUGCAUUGAUUGAUUGUCAAAGGAUCCUUUUACAAAGUACAAUUUCUACUUAUUUAUACUAACAUAUAAUAACUGUACACUUGGGCGGUUGCUCUCACAUCUAGUCUCCACUCGUGGCGGUUCUGGUAGAUGAUGUCAUUUAUUCUCUAUUAUACAUAUUCAUCACAUAGUUGCUCUAAAACUAUUAGGUUGAUAAUCAUAUCUUUUUAGUCUACGGUAUAACUUCAUUUGAGACUAUACCCAAGACCGCUUUAGUUACCUCGAUCUAUUGUCAUAUACUGUGAUUGAUCAUAGCUAGGUUCUAGGCUUUCGGCCUACUUUUGCUAAAACUCUCCUCCUUCGAUGUAUAUCUCGAUACUUGGUAAAAUUUAUCAUAGUUGAACCCUCCCAAUCUAGCAAGGGUCAUGUGAUUUUCACAUGCUCUAGCUUCAUCAAACCCGAUCAACAUAAUGCUUGCUCUUAACUAUCACCUAGGUUGUUGAGAUGAGGUGUAAACACCUCUCUCCUCCUCAGCCUCCUUCCUACUUGGAGCAACAACCUCUAUGUUGCCACUUAUGUCAACUUCGCCAACAACUCUUUCUUCCACCACUACUUCCAACAACCCCUUGGUUAUUUGGCCACUAUCGGCUCCACAUGGCUGGCAACACCUAGCCUCUUAUGUGCCUACCUACCCUUAGCAUCAUUGGCAACCUGAUGUCUUAGGUGACAUCACCUCCAUCCUAUCCUUCGCUAGGUUAUUGACCCUAGCCUUCACCUCUCCCCAUGUUGAGACAAAUUCGAGGUUGCCCUUUGGGCCUAAGUUGUGCUUGCAUUCUUGGUAAGGAAUGGCCGAAGGGAGAUCAAUGUUGCGGAGGGUCAAUCUGAAGAAGGUACUCCAUGGAGGAACUGGCGUUCUUCUCACAGAUGCUAACACUGACCGACACCAUGGUGAAUUUUGAGAUCUGAGACACAAUGGGGUAGGAGAGGUACCAUAGCAUGGCUCCCAUACACUAUCAAGGUGUUGCUACUUCCAUCAUUAUGUAUAUUAUCACUAGCAUGGUAUGAUCAUGACCAUUGAAUCUCAAAUCCAUUACAUCUCUUGUGAUUCAAGUCACUUUAUUUUGAAGUAUUUUAAUUCAUAAAAAUAGAACUUUUAUCGAGCUUUUUAUUGAUAAGUUUCUUAUUUGGUUUUUCUCUAUGGUCUUCAGGAUUCAUUUAAGAGAGGUAAGACAUGGGUGCAUUCGGGAUGAAGCUGGCGAAACAAUUGCUAGAGAGUGUUAUGGUUAUAUCUCAAGAUCAAUACUAUCAUGGCACCAUAUACCAGUUAGUGUGUACAAGACUCACCCAUAAGAUGAGAGAAAAUAAUAUUAAAUAGAGAGAGAAGAGAGAAGGAGAUGCCUCAAGUUGAUAGUGGAUACAAAAUGCAGAAGAAACUAGUUUCUAUUAUUCACUUUACCUUGAUAUGUCAUAGUACAUGGAUUUAUAUAGAACCAAGAAAAACUAGCUUGGAAAAGAACAUACAAAAAUUGUACUUCGACUCUCAUACUACUAUUAAAGACACAUUAAUAGAGGAAAUUUCAGCAAAUAGAACAAUACGAUCUUCUACGAUAGGCAACUACAUUAAAUUCGUUUUCUAUACUAUCUAGAGACUAGCAUUGCACUUGGAUUCAAUUAUUAAGUCCAAAUUAGACUUCGACUCCACCAUGAACAUGGCAAUGACUUGGCAACGCGAUAUCGACAUUAUCUUUAACAAAGAGAACGAGCGACCAAAGGGACAGGAACGAGAAGAUCCAUAUCGGGAGGUCACCUGAGAAGCUAUCAUGAGCAAAGGAGAGAAAGCAGAGACACUGCCGCUUGAGUUUGGCAUUGCUGAGAUCACAAAAAGCUUAUUGAAGUUGCAGCAAUCUUGAGGCACUUGCAUCUGGCGAUUUGUUAUUGGUAGGCCUUUUGUUGGGAUUUCUAUUAUUCUAACAAAAAGAAGAAUGGAGGAGGAAGUGGAGGCAUGGAUUACGAUGGAAGAAGAGGAGACUACGGAUCUUGAAUCGGAUGGGAAGUUAUAUUCUUUUGUUUCUCAGAGGAAGGAGUAUGUUGAUAGGUAAUUGGAUCAGUUUUAUUAUUUAGAGUAGUGGGGGGAGAGGGAGAAAGAUGGGAAUGGGAUGGGGUAAAAGUCCUAAGCCACCCUUAACCCUAAAAGACAAUGAUAUUUUAGGCUUAAAAUUCAUUUAAAGUUAUCAUGUGAUGGUCCCAUGUUGCGAUACUUUACCUAGUUAAUAGAGAUGGAUAAAAGGAUCACAUUCUAAUAAAAUAAAAUAAUAUCGUAGAUCUUCAAUAAAAUUUUAAAGCGGAGAUGAUGUGUUUGAAAAAGAAGGAAAGUUGAUAGAGUCUUCGUAAAUAUAAUACAUGAAGAUUAAUAUGUGCCAAAUACAUCACAUCUAAACCUCACGCGUGAGGAAGAUACUCUAGAAAGGAGCUAAGUGGGUGGGCAAAGAAAUUGAUGUGGCUUACCUGUGGACUUGUAGGUACCUGUAAUUAUAUGUGCUUGGAAUCCAUGCCACGUUGCUUGUAGAGCAAAUCCAGUGGCCCUUAUGAAUCAUAAAAUUUUGACUUAUGUAUGGGAUGAUUCAUGGCAUAGGGAUUGUAUCUCUCACCUUUUUUAUUCCACACGAAUUUAUCAUUAGAUCACCUAUUAGUCACUUUGAUAUCCAUGCAGUCGAAUGAAUGACGAAAUUUGUAUCACUUUGAGAGCUGUGCUGAUCUAAUAGUAAACUCAUACGAAGAAAGAUGAAUCUUUCUUUCGUGUGAAAGAUACAACCCCUAUCAUGAUUCAUGGGGCCUAUUAGGGGAUAGGGGUCCAUCUUUCGUGCGAAAGAAUGAUUAACCCCCCUUCAUGCGAUAUACAAUCAUUGGAUCAUUAGGGGCCUAUUUUGAGAUCUGUGCCGAUGGACGAACGAUGGGCUCUCAAGCGCCAUGAGAUAUAUAGAGUGGGUAUCCUUCUUCUACGGGGAAGAUACAACCCGGUCCUACGCUCAAGAGGCUAGGGGCGUGGAUCGCAUCAUGCCUACUCUCAUAGACAUCUAAUAAUUCGUUCCCUAAAUUAGAGCGUCUUAAGAAUAAAAUGUAAAAUAUUCGUGAAUGAGAGAGAGAGAGGAAGAGAGAGAGAAGAGAUGAAAAAUGAGAGGUGACUUGCUAUUGUUGAAAUGUGGUGCAUCUUGAGUCUUGACCUGGUGAAAAGGUGUGAGAAAACCUUCAAAGAUGUUUGAAAUUUGAAGUUGAGAGGAAUCAAUGGGAAGGCUUCAGUAGAAAAAUGGUGGGUUUGUGGGGGGGAAUGAGACCGCCACUGAGCUUUUAUUGACCGAAGACACGGAGAGAGAAAAGAUAGUCUACCUCUUUCCCACUGGCAGUCGGUCACUUCUAACCUCCAACAACUCAGUUAUAGGGCACCUCUACAAAGCCAAGCCAAUACAGGUGGGGACAACGUAGUAGGAAGGGCAAAUCUUGGUGCUCAUAUUGGGUUGAAAAUGGUGGCAGGCUGAGGAAGAACGAUGCACGACGAUUGCUACCGUGAUCUACGGGACCAGUGGCCAAAACAGUAUGUUGGUGACUUGGUGUUCUUGGACUCAUUGUAGCGGCCAAAGCUGCAGUCAAAGGAAGCAUGGCUGCCACUCAAGGAAAGUGGAGCUCCUUAGUUCUAUGACAUUCGCUGCCAGAAUAUAUGUAAAUAUUAGCAUAAAAUUCCAGCCUUUUGAUAGAGUUUUAAUUAGGAAGAAAACUAAUUUUUUUUAAGAAAAAGCCAACCCUUGUUCCUUGUGUUAAGAACGCAUUUGGUUUGCAAGAAAAGAAAGGGGGAAAAGUGUAGUCAACAAAAAAAAUAGAGAAAUGCUUCAUAUUUAGUUAGAGUUUUCAAAAGAGAAAGAUAAUAAAAAAGUAACUUUGUCGUGGAAAUAAGAUUCUCGCAUUUUGGACUCGUUUGGUUCGCAGGAAGAGAAAGGAAGAAAGUGUGGUCUACAAGAAAAUAUAGAAUGCUUCAUGUUUGGUUGAAUUUUUCAAAGAAGAGAGAUGGAAAGGAGCUUUUUCAUUAGAAUAAGAUUUCUAUAUUUCAUACAAAGAAAAAUUCGUGUAAAGUCACUUUCCCACCAAUUAGGAAUUGGGAUAAUUUUUGUCUAAAACUACCCUUAAGCUUUUAGAUAAAAUGGGAUAAGAUCUUUCCCUUUAUUAAAGGCAUAAUAGGCACUUUACAUAAUUUCUCAAGAAAGUAGAUGUUCAACCAAACAUCAGCUGCUCUGAAAUGUGACUUUUCCAUGGUCAACUAAACAUGCAAAAAACCACUUUCCCAUGUAUUAAUACCCAGACAUCAACUUUGUUAGAAAAACAUUCUAGCGAUGAAAAAGUUUUCCUACGGACCACAAGAGUCCUUCAUGGGAAAGAAAAACCUAUAUAGGACAUGAAAAAAUUACAUUCUCGUGGGCUAGGAAUUAAUUUUUUUUUUUUUCAAAAGUGUCCUUAAGCUUUUAGAUAGAAUGAGAUAAGAUAUUUGUCAUUUUUUAAGGGCGUCAUAGGUAUUUUACAUAAUUUUUCUAAAAAAUAGAUGCUCAACUAAACAUAAACCACUCUGGAAUAUGCCACUUUUCCAUGAACAACCAAACAUUCGAAAAUCACUUUUUUAAGUGUCAUAUUUAUAGGCAUCUGCUUCCUAGAAAAAAUAUUCUGGUGAAAGAAAACUUUUCCGGCGAACUAAACGGGUUGUAAAUAGCAAAGGAUAAUAUCAUGCAAAUUAAAGGUCAGUGGUAGUCUAUAGAUUUUUCAAAUUAGUAUCUUGAUCUUAUUGACUUAGUAUAUUACUGUUGGUCAUUGAUUUUGAUAAUUAUUUUUAUUUUUAAUUUCUAACACAUGUAUAAUUGUAUAGAAAGAAAAUAUGAUUAUGUUAAAUAUAUAUAGCUGUGUAUGAAAAAUGGCAACCGACCGUCAUGGGCUAAACAUUAAACAAAAGUUGGUCAGAGUUUUAGUGUAAAAUAACAAUCAAAUAUAAAAAUAGAAAUGGCAGCACUACGUUCACUACCCAACAGGGGAUCCUCCAUAUAUCGUCCAAAUUAUAUGAAAUUGUCAUGUAGCUUAUAUCCUGAUUGUAGGAAUUUUUUGAGCAAUUUGCACUGUCCAUCACUGAUCCGAUGCUCCAAUGAGUAGCAUCAAUCUUCUUGCAAUGAAUAGAGGUGCAGCAUAGCUUUUUUUUUUCAGCUAAUUAUUAUUUAUUAGUAUUAGAUAUCUUACCUAAAUUCAUAACCAAAUGAGCAUAGCAAGACAUUAUUUUGCUACCAUUUCUAAAUGUUAUCUAGCUGUUGCUUUACCAUGCAUGAUCAUCAAAUAGUGCCCCUUAAUAAUUUACGAGAGAUACUGACAAAGUUCAUCCUUCCCGAAUCUCAAAGGAUAUACAUAUAUAUAUGUUUGUGAUGGAAGCCAUUGCAAGGCAGUAGGUUGUGUGUAAUUCUUUGGGUGCAUCUAGAACCUCACCUUGCUACUAAAGUCAUGUUGUACAAUAUGUAUCAGGUCAAAUUUUAUAUAAUGUAUAAUAAUAAUAGUAAUAAUAAGACUAAUACUAACGACGAUGAGGACAAUGAAAAUGAUAAUAAUAACGACAACAAUGCCAGCUACAAAGCACAGCUUCUCUAAUGCACACAUACAUAUUGUUGACUAACCGAGCUUUCGCACAUUGAUAUACUCCAUCUCCAUGAGAUGGUGUAAUAUCUACUUGAAUGAAUGAUAUUUGGGAAGCUUCUAUUCUUAGAAUAGUGGUCUUAUAUACCUCAUUCUAAUCAUGCCCCUCGAAUUUUCUUAUAUCACAUAAAUUUUUUUUAUAGUCAUUUGAUAUAUUUAAACUUUUACCUUAUGCAGUUUUUAGCAAUUUUUAGCAUAAUCUUUUUGAAUAGUUUCCAACACCUUAGUGCCAUGUGAAGAUUAAACAAACCACCCAAAAACAAUACAGCCAACAAUAAAUCCAAAACCUGCUGGCUGGUGCCCCUUGCAUUGCCUCUCAAGGUAACAUCACAAGGUUCCAUCGUCCUUGUACCGAGGUCAAAAAUCAUCCAACCUAAGAGAAACAAAACUACGGCAGAUUCAUCCUGCUUUUGUUUCCUAUCUACUGCAACUGGAAAUCUCUAGGCCUAAGUUGUAUUCGCAGCAUCUGAUCCACUCAUCAUAUCAACUCAUAUGGAACUUGGGCAGCUUGGCUUUCUUCCUUGCUGGAGCCACCCCUACCCAAUAAUUGGCACAAAAAAUAUGCACAUGCUAGCACAUUCAUGGAUUUAAAUUCAUGGAGCAGUAGAGAAUUCCUUUCCCACCAAAUGGCCCAUGAACUGAUGGAGCUCGGAGUUCCUUGUACUUUGAACAUAUAUAUCAGAGAUCUCCAAAAUAUUUUGGUAAAAGUAAUGAAAUAUGCUGAAAACAAGUUGUUGCUGUCGAUCAUGGGAUACCAACAUAGACCGCCUAUGUGGAUCUGUAGGAUAACCGGCAAGACUCAGAGAGUUCACCAGAUUGGUUUUGGCCAGGCCCUUCAAUGCUUCAAUCAGAAAAAGUUGUUGUUGGUGCAAAGUAAGGAAAAAGGAGAAAAUGGAUAACAAUUCCGAUAUUAAAGAGUGGUGGUAUGUUCUCCUUCUCUUACCUUCAUGCAUGGCCUUUCUAGCCUUUUCAUAGAUGGGAUCCCUCAUCUUCAGUGAAUCAUAUCCCAACAAACUCCAUAUUAUGCCGUAACAACUAGCUGACGUAGCGCAACAAUCUGGAGACAUGCUGUAACCGCUUAGCAUGUGAUUGCUGGAACUUUGCAUCUACUUGGGGUGGAGAUUUUGCUCGAUCGAGGUUGCCGAGCUGAGCUAAGGGAUUUCGUCUUCGGAGGUCAACUACUUCUGGUCUACUUAUCCCGGCUUUAGGUCGGCUUGAAGGAUCUAACCAAAAUGCCAUGAGGAGUUUCUAAGAGCACCUGAGUCGACACAAGGAUGAUAAGCUGGAUGAACCUAAUCAUGCCACAUCUUCUUGAUCAUUUGUUACCAUAACACUGGCUCUCCCUACUUUUGAGAUCGAAACGUCUCUUUGGUUCAGGCAAAGGAAGUAACCACUUUGUCAGACUCUAUCUCGCUUUAAAGAGGGUAAUAACUCUUAUGUGUCCCCCUGAAGGAUGAGUCCUGACGCUCUGCCUCUUGAGGCAUUGUUGACCAUCCAAAGUGGUAUGGAUGUGACACACGUCCGCUGAUUCAACUAGGUGGAUUGAUCCAGGCCAUCCAAAAUUCUAUAAAAAGAUGAGAAUGGCCUCUUGCCAAUCUGCUACUUCUUGAAGGAUUCUGAACGUCUUUGCUAUCAUUUUGAGAGAUUCCUUCUUUUCUCCUCAUUGCAGGAUAGAGCUUUCAUGGACUUUACAUAGGAGGAAGGUCUUUAACGCCACAUUAAUAUGCUCUAGUAAGCUCUAUAAAGGGCCAUGGAAAACGUGGCCAAGGUUGAGGCUGAGUUGGGAUCCCUUUGGAGCAGGGUAAGGGUCGAGAUGGCUACCAUGGAGGCUGAUGCCAGUAGGAAGGUAGUUGAUGUGGAGGCCAUGCCGAGGGUUAUUGAGGAUAGGGUGAAGACGGCUGAACUCCAAGCUUUUAGAAUCGAGAGGGAACUGCAGGCAGCAAAUUUCCAAGGUCGAAAGGAGGGCUUUCCAAACAGUUGAGAAGUACAAAUCUUCAAUCGACUUCUAGCAAGAGAUCACUAAGUCCUUCUUGCAAGGCUUCUAGGAGCACCAAAAAGGAACAAUGAAGCUUCAACCUGACCUAGUCCACCUUGUACCGAAUAGGAGCUGUGCUAAGAGGAGGUGAGAUUCGGUGAGCAAGCACCCUUCAUCGGAGUAGGGAGAGUAGAAAUCCACAUUGGUCUUCUCCUUGAGCCUCCAAGGUGAAGGCAUGAGAUGAGAUGGAGGGUAGCCUUCUGAUCAUAAUGACCCUGUCGAAGUUGUCAACCUCAUAAGGCUGGAGUUCGGCUAGUCCGAACCCCCUUUCCUUGUAAUGUAGUGGUUUGGUCUGGUCUUUGACCUACUAUGUAAUCAAACAUUAUUAUUGAAAUAGAACGAUUUCCAAGCAUACCUUUUCUUUCUCAUGGUUUUUGGAUGUUCGCUUGAGGUUAUCUCAAGGGUGCCGUGGUGGACCUAGAUAGGCCAGAGACAUAAUUUUUCACGAUUGGUUGAAUAAAGCCAGAAGACCAAGGUAAGGUCGCAACCAAGCAAAUCCAAGGAUUUGAGAUCAGUGAAUGCUUCAAGAUGAGGCCUUGCCAAGAUGAGGAUGAGAUUACAAGAUCAUAAUGAGAUGAGAUCAUAGUAAGACGAGUUGAGCUCGAGUAGAGACCAGCCGAGAUAGCCCCAAGCGCUUUAGAGAUAUCACGAUAAUGCUUCGAGCAUAAUUCCAUAAUGGCUAUAGCGCCCAUGAAGAUAAUCCAAAAUGUCCUCUAACUAUAUUAAUAAGACCAAAAUUUCAUGAGGUGCUCGAGGUCGGCAAAAAUAUCACAUGCAUAAGAAGUAUUUGAAGAUCAUUUUGUUGAAGUAAAGCGUAAUCCUUCAUGGGCCUUCAAGCCUUUGAUCAAUUAGAUUCUUUUAGACCAUCAGUGCUCAGGUCGAGCAUGGUUCUUCGCAUCCGAGCCCAAUUCAUAGUAGGACUUCUAAUUAGUUGAGUUCUUCUAGUCAGCGAUGCUCAGAAUAUCGAACUAAGCAUGCCUCCUUCUGUCGGAGCCUAGUUUGUACUAGGACUUUUGAUCGAUUGGAUUCUUUUGAUCGAUGAUACUCAAACAAUCAAUUCGGAUGUGCAUCCUUCCAUCCAAGCCUACUUUGUACUAGGACUUAUAACUAGUUGGGUUCUUCUAAUCGACGACGCUCGGAUGAUCGAACUAAGCAUGCCUCCUCCCAUCCGAGCCUAAUUUGUACUUGGAUUUAUGAUCGAUUGGGUUCUUUUGGUCGGCAAUGCUCGGAUGAUCGAACUGAGCAUGCCUCCUCCCAUCCAAACAUAGUUUGUACUUAGCUUUCUGAUUGGUUGGGUUCUUCUAGUUGGCAAUACUUGAGUGAUUGAAUCAAGCAUGCCUCCUCCCAUUCGGGCUUAGUUUGUACUAGGACUUCUUGGAGGUCUCAGUCAAUCUUGGGGCAUCUCCACAGGAGUACGUGAAGCUUGGCUCUCCAAAUUUAGCUUUCUAUCCAUGUAGGCUCAUGGAAUAGAGGUCCCAAUUCUCUAGAUUUAGCUCCCUGUCUACCUAGACUCAUGGAAUGGAGAUCCCAGCCAAUCUUGGGGUAUCUCCAUGGGUCAGUCAUGGCGAGGUAGAAAGCAAUAUUAGAGAUAAGCUGAAACACAACUCUAUCAUCUAUUAGUAACAAAGGGUACAAAAUUUAAUUUCACAAUUUUUGUUAUGGUCAGCCUUGAGGAUAUCAAAGCUAUGAUGUUCGAUGCUCUUCUUGCCUAGUGAUCUUGACUUUUCUGAAAUUUUGUCUCGUCACUCAGGUCUUUGAGUCACAAGCUUUUUCUUGUUGGAACCCCUUCAUGGAUGAAGGUGAUCAACCUGAAAAGUGGCCUACUACUAUGUUGCCUCUCUACAGUUUGUUCAUUCCGCUCUACACUCUCUCAUUGGUUGCCGACAUAGAGAUGCAUCAAACGAGGGCUUCCAUCUCAUCCGUCAGCUGAAAGUAUUCUUUAGUAUCGAACCUGUGGUCUUUGUGGAACUAGCAAAAUUUAUUUGGGUCCCUCUUGUUAGCAAGGGCCUUUAUCUUCCAAGACUGGCCGAGGUACCCCUAGUUUUGAACCUAUACCAUGAUUUGAGCCCUUGGAGCAUUGAGGGCAGUCUACCUCUUGAACAUCAAAGGUUCCGAGGUCGCAUAGCGACCUCUUCUUCUCGCCCAUUGUUUCUUCUCGACUCAUCCUUUUAUUCAUGGCUUGGUCAUUUUAUGCCAUUCCUUCCUCAUUCUACCUCUCUUUGAGCUAUCAUAGUCUCCUUGUCUUGGAUGUGUUAUCCACUCGAGAGAGGAGUUUGGAAAAUUUCUUUGAAGGUCUCUUAUCCAGCGAAAAGCAAAAGCACAAGAUCUUCGGACCAUUCAUCACUAAGGCCACCAUGAUGAACCGGUCUAGCUCAUGCACUGCGAGGCUUCCAGCAUUGAAUCGGGUAAUAUAGCUUCAGAGGGUCUCAUCCUCCCUUAGCUUGAUGGUGAACAGGACAGUGGAGACCCUCUACUAUUUUUGCUACUAAGAAAGUAGCCGAUGAAACAACGGUUGAGUUGAUCAAAAGAACUAAUCGAUCCUAACCAAAGGGUUGAAAUUCGGAGCCAAGCAGUCUUUUUAAGAGUGAUGGGAAUGCCUAGAACAUUAUAGCAUUGUUGGAUCCUUGAAGCAACAUCAAAUAUUUGAACUUUCCUAGAUGGUCCACUAGAUCUAUAGUGCCAUCAUAGUGGUCGAAUAUCAUCAUCUUAAAUUUCUAUAGUAGAGGCUCUUCUAGGAUCUCCCUAGUGAAGGAAAGAUCGCUGAUCACCUAUGAAUCAUCUUCACCUUUGGUCCUCUACUCUUGUAGGACUUUCAUUGGUUAAUAUAUCUCCUCAAUAUCAUGGAGAAGGUCUGCCUCCUACUUGUAAAUUUCUCUCGGAUGGUGCGGGAAAGAUUCAUCAGGGCUGGAACUUAUGCCAGAGAAAGAGUAAUCAUGCCCCCAUCCCUACUUAAGAGUGUUCGGGAUGGUGGCGGCUACAACCUUGUGCCAAGGCAUCUUGGUGGUCCGAUCGGCUAGCAAGGGGGUUAUUGGCCCGCUACUGUUGACACCACUAUUAUUAGGGCUUGCACUUGCUGAGCAAGCAAGUCAAGUCAAUCAGCAUCGAUAGCUCCUGCGGCUAGCUAGGAAGACUAAGAUCUCAAAGGGCUGCAUGGGAAACCGCUAUAAGUAGGCUGGACAGAAGCUCGAUGGUUGCUCCUCUUGAGCUUAUGGCUUUUCUUCCUCCCUUCCAAUAGACAGCACCAAUAUGUUGCUGCUGAUCUCGGGACAUCGAUGCAGACCACCUUUGUGGAUCUACAAGAUAACAAGCAAGGGUCAGAGAGCUCACCGAAUUGGUUCCAGUUGGCCUUCUGAUGCUUAAGUCAGAGAGGGUUGUUGUUGGUAGGAUGUAAGGAAGAAGAAAAAAAUGGAUAAUAAUGCUAAUACUAAAGAGUGGUGGUGUGUUCUUCUCUCCUACUUUCAUGGAUAGUCUUACGGGCCUUCUUAUAGCUGGGAUCCUGCAUCUUCGGCGAAGCAUAUUCCAACAAACUCUAGAUCCAGCACAUGAUGGAAUUUCUGAAACCUUGCAUGUUCUUGGGGUAGAGGUUUUGCUCAACUAAGGUUGCUGAGCUGAGUUGAGGGACCUCGGGUUCGGAGGUCAGCUACUUCUUGUCUACUCGUCCCAGCAGUCAAAUGGGCUUGGAGGUUCCGAGCAAAAUACUUUGGAGAGUUUUUGAGGGCAACCAGAUCACCACGAGGAUGAUGAGAUAGGCAAACUUGAUUAAUCCCCAUCUCCUUGAUCAAUUAUUGAUAUAACACAAGCUACAGUCUAUCAAUUGAGUGCAUAGCCUAUUAGAUGGAACAUUUCUAGAAAAAUUAACCACCAUUUGGAUCAUUGAGUAAUUUUUGAAGCCAUGGAUCAUUAUACAAUUUUCUAUCACUCUGCUAGACAUAAGCAUCUAAAAGCCUUCGAUCGAGUUUAUACAAUGGCCUUUAUGAUUUGGCAAUAGUUUUCCCAUACAUGCAACCAGAAAAGAAAAAAAUAAAUCCUAUGAUUUUAACUAGUCAUCGAUUGCUUGGGUUCUCAUACAAACCACCACCAAAUAAACUUAUGAACAUUCGAACAUUAGAAUAAGAAAUCCCUCCUCUCUCUUCUCUAUGCCUCCCGCCACCCAUCCGCCUUAUUCACUUGCCUAGAUUGGACGGGUCAGGCCUAGGUCUUUAAUUUUUGUGCCAGACUGGGCAUGGGCUGCUAAAAUGCUGCCGAUACCAGACUCUGGCUUGGUCCGGCAUCUACUUCAGUCUAAGCUUGCAUGCACCUUGGAAAAUUUUUCUUCGGGUAGGAAAUAAAACUUGGAGAUAAACCAAGUCCAAUCGAGGUUGAGGACCGAUCUAUAUCUCUUCUUGGCUCCGCUUGUCUCCUGUCUUCCUCAUAAACUUCCUUGUUGACCCCUCUCCUCCUCAAAAUCCCUCAUCAUUCACUGCUCUCAAUCCAUGGAAGCCUCCAAGUUUGACUCCAUGGAUAAAAUUGGAGUUGUGUUCAUAUAUUCCCUCCUAUCCUCAGUGCUUGGCUUGUUCCCUGUUGUUUGAAGAGCUAUAUUUCUUUAUCUCUUUAUUUAUUUAUUUAUUUAUUCUUUCGGGUUAGCCAUUCAAUAUGUUGUUAGUUUUUGUUUGCUUUUUCUUAUUUCAUUGUCAACUUUUGGUUUGAAUUGCAUGGAGUUUUUCUUUUCUUUGUGUUGUCGUUGACCAAUUUUACCUAGGCACUGAGCAAAAGGGGAUACUGGAGGGAUAGACGGUGAACUGCUUUGUCAUGCAGAGCUACAACCCAUUCGGAGCCACCUUAAGGAACUAGGUUGCAUCCAAGAUUUUGGUCUAAGGUCAAGCUUUCACCUAAAAUAGCAAAGAUAAAAAAGUCCUCUUAUCUAAGAGUAUCCAGUGGAAGACCCUCCAACACCCAUCACCGAAGGAUUUGGGCACGUGGGUUGACUAUGAUUGGCGUGCCACUGCACGUUAUGAGGAUUAUGCAUGAACAUUUUGCACGUGCACCACGCCGUGCACAUCUCAUAGGUGCAAUUUUGAAGACCACCAGGGAUCAUCGCUGAGGGGUUACCAGCUGCAGAAGAUUUUGAAAUUUAAAAGGUUGCCUACGCACUUCUCAGGCUUGCCACGUGGCAGACCCUGGUUACAGUUCAGAGGCUUUGUGGAGUGUGUUGGUUAGCCAAUCUUUUAAGUGAGUUGUAAUGGGCUCCAAGGCUCAUCACUUGCCCCUCAUUUCUAUAACUGAGAUAGGCCUAUCAGCGUGGGUGGCGGAAGUAGUUUCACCAGUAGUGCUGACCACCGAGGUAGCCCACAAAGUCGAGCCAAAAUGAUGCAAUUGCUUUCCCACGCCGUCCUUCCAGUUCGAUGCUGGGAUUCCCCAGAUAUCACAUUUAUGAGAUUUCCCAGAUAUCGCAAUUAUGAGAGGCAUGGUUAUCCUUGCUAUUUCCAAAUUGUCAUGAUUAUGACGGAAAUACCAGCACGCUAAUUAGACAUUGGAGUCCGAUGGCUAUCCAGUGGAUCAUCUGAGGAUGAACGCUCGGGCGACACGUGGCUAGGAUAGGUGAGCCACCAUACCAACAUAGCCCAUCCAAGGUUCAAUAAAGAGAGCGAAGGGAUGCAACGACCCUUCCACCUCGUCCUUCCUCGCUUUGAAAUUGAAAGAGAAAGAGAGCAAUCCUAGGGUUUGGUCCGCAGUCGUUUCUUACCAAUGCUCAAUUUCUCACCAACCAGUAAAAUGGUAUUUUGAACAGAUCACCUGAGCCCAAAGAGACGAAGGAUGCAGAAUAACUUGGGCAGCUAACUUACAUCGGCAAGCUUGACGACGCGCCAAUAACGUAGAGAUCCCGAGACCCCCUUGCUGUUUGGACAUACGCAUAAGAGAUCAUAUGAAGUGUUUUUUGAUCACUAGGGUGGCCCCAUGAUGAAGUGGGAUCGAUGACAACACUUAUUCGAGCAAGGUUGCUAGAUGCUAAUGAUAGAGCCUUCCAUUUCCAGCUCUCAACCUUUAUGGUCACCUUAUUUAUAAGAAAGUCAAAUUACAAACUCCCCUCCGUGAUGAAAUAUUUAGAAGAUUGCAAACCUGUUGUUUGACAGCAGGUGCCAUAGAUGGGCUAAAAGUGAUGUAGGAUUUAAAAUAAUUUAUUGCUUGACCAGAAAGAGAGCUAUAAGUGUGAAGAAUAGAUGAUGUAGCUCUAGUCACUAAUAACCAGUCAUCAGCACAAAAAAAAAAAAAGUGAUACAGCAGGCCCUCCUCUAGGUUGAUAAGCUCAGAAAUCUGGAAAGAACCUAAGAGCAUAGGAUGAAUAAAUAUGGUGAGGGAGGGUAUUCUUGCCUUAGACCUCUAAAUGGUAAAAACCAAGGAGUUGGCGUACGUACUAUUAACAAGCAAAGCAAACUGAGGUACAUAAACACAUGCCCCCACCCACCUUAUGAACUUGGCAUGAAACCCGAAUUGCUUCAAAUUAUGAAUCAAGAAGGGCCAAUGGACACGAUCAUACGCUUUCUCAUCUAUUUUAAGCUUCAUCAAGCUUCUGAAAGGAGGUACCUUGCUAAGAGUAUGCAUUAAAUUCUUGAGCUAGCAAAAUAUUGUCUACCGUGUUCCUUCCUUGAACAAAUAACCCUUGUUCAGCCAAUGCCAGCUUAGGGAGAAUAGGUUUUAUCUUGUUGACGAGAAGUUUCGCCACUAUUUGUAGACCAUAGACUAAUAGGUCUAUAAUCAUUCUGUUGGGGGAAUGUAAAUCGUCCCAAAGCACGUGAGCACAUCGCCAGCACGUGAUCAGAAGCGCCCGACCUCNNNNNNNNNNNNNNNNNNNNNNNNNNNNNNNNNNNNNNNNNNNNNNNNNNNNNNNNNNNNNNNNNNNNNNNNCGACCUCAGAAGCCCAACCUCACCAUCCACUCGCCGCAAUCACAUCCUUCUGCAGCUCGACCAGAGACCAUGCCCUGCCACCGCCGCUAACAAUUAAUGCGAUGGUCUCUGCAGACUUCCGGCUUACUCAACAAUUAAUGCGCAUGGCUAAUGCUAUCUACGGAUCUCAAGCCCUCCACGGCAAAUCUGCUCGGCUGCGUCUGAUCAACCAUAACAACUCCUUGGCUUCGGCCUGAUCUCCUACGGCAAGGCAUUAAUUCACACGAUCGUGCAUUAAUUCAUACGACAUGCUCAAUCAUACGGUAACUUUGCCCCGUCAUAUCACAGGUAAUCCAGUACCCCUCUAUAAAAGGGGAACCCUCCGAUCUUAGAGGAGGCUGGACGUUGGAACUCUGGGCAUAUAUUUUCUCUUAUACGUUUGCCCCCUCUGACUUAGGCAUCGGAGGGCCGGCGCCGGAAACCCGAGCCACCGGAUUUUUGCAAGCCCCACGGAGGACGCCGCCCGCCGACGGAACACCACCCGCCGACUCUCGCUGGAGCUCCUUCUUCUCAGCCACUGGUCGCCCCCGGGUCCACUUUCCAGCAACAUAUUCAUUAAUUCAGGAUUAGAUUUUCUAGGUUAGAGUAAUAUACGUUCUUUUCCAUGAGCUAGGCAAGAAAUUAUGUCUAACGAAGUAUUUGAUUGCAACAGUUACCCCCGUUUUGAUGAUAUGCCAGAAAUACUGAAAGAAGAAAUUUGGAAAACCAUCUGGGCCAAGAGCUUCAUCCGGGAACAUGCUUUUUAGUACUUCUUCAAUUUCAUCUUCCCUUAAUCAAUUACUCAUUUUGAUCUAUUGUAAUAGAAGAUAAAAGCUAAAGUAACUCCAUGUCCUCCAUGGACUCCUGAGCUUCCCAUCUCUGUUGGAAUUAGACACCAAUAAGGUAUGAAUACCUAUAAUGUCAUCAACCCUUAUCCCCUAAGCAUUAUGAAGUAUGUGAAUUUUGUUCCACCUUCUUCUAAGCAUGGUGGAUCAAUGAAAAAAUCUUGUAUUUGCAUCACCUUCUUUCAGCCAACCAACUCGAGACUUCUGCCUCUAGCAAACCUCUUGCAUAUAUGAAAAGGUUUUUUCGAUACUCUCGAAGGAAGGCCAAGAGCUGGUUAUGUUGUUGUUUCCUUAGGCCCCUGGGUUGUGCUGCUUUCAAUUGCAGUUCAUAAAUUUGGUCAAGAAGUCACCAAUAUUUCUCUUCCAUUGUUUAAUGGCUUUCCUAGUAUUGUGCAAUAACACUGAUAGUUUAACUCUUGGUGAAUAGUUCUCAUGACAUGUCCAGGCUUGUUGCACCACAUCUUAUUGGGAUUGAUCCACUUGUUCUCCUAUCCGAAGCAUACAACAAUAGAGAGCAAUAAUCGGAUGCAAAUCUAGUGAGAUGCGUGACUAGAUUCAGGUAAUAAAUCCACUCAUCCAUCUUAUACAAAUGCUCUAUUCAACCUCUCCCAUACCCUGGCAAAAUUAUAACGAUAUUUACACCAGGUGCAAUGAGGACCCUAGAACCCCAAGUCAAUUAGGUCUGUUUGACAAAGAAAAUCUAAAAAUUUCCUAAUAUCCCCACCCACAAGAAAAGAUUUACCUUCUUUUUUAUAGAAUACAGUUUAAUUCACCAAUAAGGAGCACAGGUAAGCCCAACGAUAAAAUAGAUACAACUUCCUUCCACAGGAUUCUGUGCUCAAACCCAAGGUGGCCCAUUGUGUGGUGCAAUUACCUGGAAAGCUACCCGUCUGUUUACAUGAAUGAAAUGAACAUGACCCUAAGCAACAACGAUUCCCCCUGAUAACCCUAUAGACGAGAUCAUAUGAACAUCCCACAACGGACCCAUAAACCUUCGGAUUCUAGCUAAAGCAUCACAAGCAAGUCUGGUCUCCAAAAACAACAAAAGAUUUGGUGAUAAUUCACAAAGGGAAGGUUAGCCGCACCCCUACAAUUCCAUGCAAGUAUUCUCAUGAGAAUAGUGGUGUUGGAGUUACCAAUCCCUUACUAGCUCCAACAGCCUCUUUGAUGAGCCCAGGUUAGGCUCCUUUGUGCAGGCACUAGAUGAGGACUCCACCGAAUUAGACACAACAGUGUGUGAACGCCCCUUCAGUGCUUCUUUGAUGCCUAGUUUAUGUUGUAGUUGCUGAAAGAGGGAGUUUGAGAGGAGGUACUACAGUCAUCUUGUAGUUGCCCGCUAAGGACCGAGGCUCUCUAAGAGGGAUUCGCUAUUUAUCCUCUUCAGAUAUUCAAAACAGUAGCCACUAAGAUGGUAACCUGAUGGUAAGGAGGCUUGAACUCCACCUAAGUUGCCCGGAUUCAAAACGCGCGGAUGUCGAUUAAAUCAGAAGACCGAAAGCCCCACACCUGGAUGACUCUGUGUGGAUAUGCUUUCCUUCCAUCUGUACUGAGAUGGCGCUGGGAUGACGUACUCAUAUGUGGUUGUUGAUCUCAAUGGGGAGAGCCCACGAGUCGGAGAGGGCACGCAAACCUGCGACCUGCAUCGAAUAUUUUCUGGUGGAAGGGGCCUAGUGAGAGCUACUACACGGGUGGGCUUGUCCUUCCCCCUCCCCUCCUAUUUUUGAACAAAAAAAAAAAGAGCAGCAAGUCUUCUGACAAGGGGGGCACACGGAAAUGCCCGUGCAAAUUUCAUCUGAGCUUAAGCUCCCUUUGAACAAAAUCGAGGGAAAAUUCGUUUACAAGAAACAUUCUCUGAAUCCCCCCGAUCUAGCUCCAUUUCAUCCCCCUUUCCCUCUGAAGAUAAGGAAGAGGAAGCACUUGGCCCCACUUUCUCUCUCAACUCAUAGUUUCUGACUUUAGAACGGGCACUAGGAUCGAUUAGUUUGUCAUAGUUCCUUGAGACUCUUGGUUUGUCCCAGUCAUACUCUUGGUUUGUCCUUUUCCCUGGAGACUUGCAAUAGCUAAUGCCUAAUAAUGUCUUCAUCAACUAAUAAUUUUUGCACUUUAUCUAGAGGAAACUUACAGCGGAUUGGGUGGCUUCUGUUUAUUUUUCUUAAAUUAUUCAUUUGUAGAGAUUAAAACAGGGAAAGCAUUAGCAGCCAUUGCUGACCAUGAUCAUGGGGCUAGGAUUCAUAUGGAUGGGACUAAAAAUUCUAUUGCAUUCGUGAAGGGGGCUAUAAUAACCAGCAAAAUUAUAGAAUUAAAAGGUUGAGCUAGGUUUAUAAAUUAUAUUUAUAAGUAUUCAGAAAUAGCUUGGAAUCGGCCUAUAUUCAUAGGUCUUUUUUUUCUUCCUAUAGAAUUUGGACCAGCCCACUCCAAAGCUAUUUUUGGAUACUUAUGAAUAUAAACCUACAACAACCUAUCAUCCCAUGAUUUUGAUAAUUGUACUGGCCUAAUUUGGAAAUUUAAUAGAAUUUCCAGCCCAGUAUCCAAACAGGCCCUAAUGGGUGGCUUAACCUUUAUCCGGCUUUUUUUUCUAGACUUCAAACUAGCUUUCCUAGCGUCUGGGUACAUGGGACUAAAAGAAACUUUCUACAUAUUAAAAAGCACAUGAUGUCUUUAUUACGAGUUAAGGGUUUUUAUUCAGUCUCUUUAACAGACAAAGAAACGGAAUCCAUCUGCACUAUAAUUAUAAUAUAAGUCUGGUUAAUUAGAAAUGCACCAUCCAAGACUUAAACCUAAAACCUAUAGUUAUUAAAUGAAGGGGGUGUUAUCAUUAGAAUUUGCUUCAUUCACUUUUAUUUAGGAUUUUAUCCAAGAAAUUUUCCACUAAAAACAAUCUAGAAUGCAAGAUAUAGGUGCAUGCAAUAAUAAAAAAAAAGAAGUUGAUAACCUUUUAGAAGAUUGUGAAAGUUUACAUGUUUUCUUAUAAUAUAAAAUGAUAAAUCAAUGUUUUAAGGUACAAACAAAUCAACCAGGCUGAUAUGGAUCAAUGUUUUAAGGUAUAAACAAAUCAACCAGGCUGAAAUGGAUCCGUCAGUCCCACGCUUGUAAAUAUACAAGCCCAUAUGGCCUAAUGACCUUCAUUGGUCAACAUUGACUUGCUCAAGUUGACUCUCUGUUUCAGCCACUCCAAAUCAACAACUUUAAAGGUGCUGAAAUUAAAAAAAAAAAAUUAUGAAUCUACAUUUUAGAGUUAAGAUUUGCUUUUUAUCUACUACAAAAGUUCCUCCAAGUUCAAAUCUCCUUAAUUGUGAUUGCCAUUCUAAAUUACUUAUAUAGUGUUNNNNNNNNNNNNNNNNNNNNCACUAUCAUCCUCAUAUAGCUUAUUCGGUAAAUAAUAUUAAUGCAUAUAUUUUUUAUUCUUUUUAACACUAAGUAGGUACUAUCAAACCUACGAUAUUGACCAUACAUAUGUAAUAAAGUUUUCAUUAUUAUAAAAUUACAUCUUAUUUAUUAAUACUUUGAAAUUUUAAAUAUUUUAAUUAUUCAAAAUGUUUUUUUGUAUUGUUAUAUUUUAGAUGUUGCACAGCAUCGAAAAUGGGACCACAAAUCCGUCACACAAAACAAGAAGGUUGGAAGUUGAAGCUAAGUUUCCUCUUUCAUAGACCUAAACUAUGACUCAUAUUAGCUAACUCCUUAAACAACUUGUUGCUGGAAAUUGGACCCAGGGGCGGCCGUCGGCUGAGGAGGAGGAGCUUCGGUGGAUUCCGGCGGGCGGCGACCUGACGGCGAGCGGCGUCCUCCGUGGGGUGGGGAUCUGCAAUAAGCCGGUGGCCGGGGUUUCCGGCGCCGGCCCUCCGAUGCUUAAGUUAGAGGGGGCUUAAAUUUGGGAGAGAAGAAGGGGAGAAGAGCAGAAGAGCGUUCUGCUGCCCUUUUUCUGAGUCCAACCCCCUCCUUGAAAAGGAGGAAUUCCUCUUUAUAGGGGAGUCGGAUUACCUGUGAUGUGAUGGGGUGAGGUCGCCGUACGACUCAGCACGUCGCUCAAGUUGAUGCGUGAUCAGGUGAAUUAAUGCUUCAGCGUCGGAGGUGAGGUCGGGAUCAGAGAGUUGUCGUGGCUGACUGGACACUGCCGAGCCGUCUUACCGUGGAGGAUUGAGGAUCCGUAGAUAAGAGGAGUCAUGCGCAUUGAUUGUUGAGUGAGCCGGAGACAUAUAUUAAUUGUUGAGUGAGUCGGGAGUUUGCAGAGAUCGUGCGCAUUAAAUGCUGGGGGCGGUGGCAGGGUAUGGCCCCUGACCGGGCUUCAGAAGGGUGUACCCGUGGUAAGUGGGCGGUGAGGGCAGACUUCCGAGAUCGGGAGCUCUCCAGGUCGGGUGUUCCGAGGUUGGGCGCCGAGCUCGGCCGCCCGAGGUCGGCCGUUGUCGGUCCUUCGACGGCAGAGUUCUCAUGGGCUCGGGGGGGGGGGCUGCGCUCCCCCAUCUUAGAAAUUAUAGCUCAUUAUCCGUAUAAAUAUAAGUUUAAAUUCUAUUAACAUAGUAACUAUAAGUGGAAAAAAAAAUAUUAUACAUUCAUAUUGAUAUGUAUAUUCUAUAAGAAAACAAACAAAUUAAAAACAGCAAAACUAGCCGGGAAUGUUGAUAAUAUAGCCCGGCAAGCAUGUGGCCGACCAAAAUAUAUCCAAUUUGGAACAUCUUGUUUGAUUACAUGCUGAAAAUAUCUAAUUGAACAAUUGUUAGACAAAUAGAAAACAAACACAAUACCUUCCCAGCCUCACGAUGACAACAUCUCCGGCCAUCCCCAUCCACCCUUAACCUCGUAUUAACAAUAAUUAACAGAAGCUUGUCUUGUGAAAAGCGGCAAUUAUUACCAUAAAGCGUUCGCAUUUGAGUACAACAACGUCUUUUAUUAAUUUAAAGGGUGCGAAGCGAACUACGACCACUCUCCACCUCCUAUAAAUUCUUCUCCCCAUCGGUCUCUCCUCCUUUUAUCUUAAAAAAAACACACCUUUCUCUCCUCCUCCUUUUCUCUCUUCUUCCUUUUUCUCGUUCGGAAAGAAGAGAGAUUGGGAGAAAGAGAGGGGCGAUCUGACAUCCUUGUCGUAAUUUGAGGUAUAUUUUUUCCCCGAUCUUUUCUUUAACUAAUCUAUAAUGGAUUGUGCAUAAGAGAAGAAUGGAUCGAUCUCAUUUUGCGUAAUCGAAGCAAAUUCCAGGGUAAUUCUUGUAUUCUUUCCAAUUUUUCUUGGAUUUUUGCUGAAAUUUUUGAUCUAUAAUCAUGAAGACCGCGGCUGGCUGGGCUUUCGAUUCUUGCUAAGGAGGAAACAAGGAUGGCGGAGGAGCAGAGAUGGCAGGAGGGGCACUGCCUAUGCGCCAACAACUGUGGCUUCUUCGGCAGCCCCGCCACCCUCAACCUCUGCUCCAAAUGCUACCGCGAUUUCCGCCUCAAGGAGGACCAGGCCGCCUCUGCCAUGAUCGCCGUCGAGAAAUCCCUCUCCGCCACCGCGGCGGUCCCUCCUUCUCCUGCGGUAGCCUUAGUGGCCGCGGAGCCCGUCGUCGGAACGCUAGCAGAGCAGGCGGCGCCACCGCUUCAGCAGCAGCAGGAACGACGGUCGAACAGGUGCGGGGCGUGCCGGAAGAGGGUGGGGCUUACGGGGUUCCGGUGCCGGUGCGGGGCGACCUACUGCGGCGCCCACAGGUAUCCGGAGCUGCAUGGGUGCAGCUUCGACUACAUGGCCGUGGGUCGUGAGGCCAUCGCCCGAGCCAACCCCGUCGUCAAGGCCGACAAGCUUCACCGGAUCUGAAGACGGCGCCGCGAAUCCAUCACUUUACGCUUGUUUUGGCGGUGUCGGUGCUUUUUAUUUCUUCGUUUCGUUUCUCUCUUUUUCUUUUGUUAAUUUAUUUUUUAUUUUUAUUAUAAAAAUAUUUUGUCAAGAUAAAGCCAGGAUGAGAGUUUAUCGGAUUGUCUAGAUCUUUUUUUGUAUCUGAAACUAUCUAAAUAUGAAUAAAAAUUUGAGCAUCUGAUUAGUUUAAAAAAAAAGGCAAUUGUUCGAUCGGUAUCUAAAUAUCCGAUUUCAUUUGUAAUUCUAUUUAAUUUUAUAUAGCACUCAUAAAUUUUUUUAAAAAAUAAAUGGCCACAUUAAUAUACUACUAACUUGAUUUAUCAUCUACUUAGUAAUACCUUUCAUUCUAUGGCCAUAAAAUUUAAUUAUUCAAUUUAUAUCCGUAUUUAUAUCUCUAUUUUCAGUAUCUAAUUUGUAUCAGUAUUCGUUAAGAACAAAUAUAGAUAUAAAUUUUUACAUCCCACUAAUAUCGGUUCCAUAUCUAUAUUCAUCAAAUAAAUAAAUAUAGUUAUAGAUAUAUUAGUAUCCGAUUCAAUUUCAACCUUAUGUAGAGUUACACAAGAAUUAAAAAUAUAUAUAUGCAUUUAUACGAUUGCAGAGUCAUAAUAUUAGAAACUAGAUAAGUCUCCAGAAGGUGGGAUUUAAUUGGACAAUUUCAUAGGGGAUUGGCUAUUGUUUUGGAGCAAAAUUUUUAAAAGGGCCAUGUAUGGUCAAGACUAUUUUGAAAGAGAUGCAUAUCUUAUUUAAAUAAAGGAAUUAAUUUAAAAAACACAAGAACAAGAAAUUACACCUCCACAUCAUACAGUUGGCAUUAGGGGAUAUUUGAUGCCAUUCCUACCGCUGGCGCAAACUUAUUGUGGUAUAAAAAUAUUAAUUUCUUUAUGCCAUACCUAAAAGUAGGCCCAAAAGCAUUUUUCUUUGGUUAUUUUUUAUAAUAAAAAACUAUUUUAUAAAAUUUAGUGCAAAUAAAUGUUUUAUUUUUAGUCCUAAUCUAUUUGUUUGACUUGAAUUAGGAAUAAUUUACUAUUUUGAAAAGGAAGAAUAAUUUUUUUACUUAAUUUCUUCCUCCAAUUUACUCCACUUACCCAACUAUAAUUCAACUUUUUAUUCUUCAACUAGGAAAGUUUAGGCUACGUCUUUUUCUGAAAAUGAGUCACUUGUAUGAUAAUUUUAGAGUUUUUGUGAUUGAUCAUGCAAAGAAGCCUAUUUACAAGCAAUAAGAAAGUGAUUAUUGGGGAAAAAAAUCCCACCACGUUCUUUCACAUUUAAUGUCUUCCAUGAAUCAAACUCUUACAAAAAAGAAAGAAAAAAAAAAGAAACACAUAUAUUAAGCCACAAAUAAACUAAUAGAAAAAUCUUUUGCAAAAUAAAAGCAAAACUAUUCAUUAUAAUAUAACAUAAGGUCGCAUUACAAAGAAAUAUAGAAUAGUGCAUGUUUAUUGCAGCUAGCUGCAAACCCUUUGAUAUUAUAAGGAAAACUAGCAUUUGCCACAUGAACGUGCUUUUGCUUAAAAAAUGAGCCUUAUUUAUAUGGUCCUCAUUCUUUGUGGGGGAAAAGAGCAUAAUACCAACAAUUGGGAAGGCCACGAAGACUUAAGAUUAAUUUAUCCAUAAUAUUUGAGAAAGAGAAGUAUGUAUUUUUACUCUUUCGUUUUUGGAUGCAAUCCUUAUAGGAAAGCCUGAUGUCAGAGCAUAUGCAUGUUGGAUUUCAAAGCUUUCCUAUUACAACAAAAUAGAGCAUUUUGCCAGCCAAACUCUAUUUACAAAAUUUAUAAGAUGCAGAAUAAGUUAUAUAUGAUGCUCGUUCUUUUGGGCAUAGACUAUUUUAUGUUUGCUCAAUAUGCACUCUUUAUGUCAAUUCAUCUCUUUAGAUGACAUGCUUGAUCUUAAUUUUAUAUUAUGAGUUAUAUUAUAUGAAUAUUAUAAUAUGUCAAGCAAUAUUGUAAUUAUGAUAUAAUAUAAUAUAUAAUGUUGCUAUAAUAAGAUGUUGUUAUUCUUUUAGUACUAUAAUAAUAAAAUAUAAUCAUAUUAUCCUACUAUAAUAUAAAAAAUGUCAUUAUAAUAUUAUAAUUAUUAUAAUAAUAAGAUUUAGUAAUUUUAGUAAUAGAAAAUAAAAUAUUAUUAUGGCAUCUACAUCUACAAAUUAGACAUAUAAUAUCUUAUCUAAUAUAAUUUAGUCAAAAUAAUAAUUUUUAUUUAUCAUCAUAUCAUAUAUUAAUAUAUUUCUUGUAUACUUCUUAUAUUUUCUAUAUUAUAUUAUAUAUUAAUUGUAGUAUUGAUUAUUAUAUUAUAUUGAUAUCUUUAUAUAAUAAAUAAAAAUAUAAAAUUAAAAAUAGUAUAUGAACAAAUGAUUUUAUAUAAUGGAAAAGACUAUUACAAUAUAUUAUAAUAAUAUAUUGACAAUACUUUUACAUAUAUAAUAAGAUUAUAUUAUAAUAUAUGUAAUUAUAAGUAGUUAAUUAUAUAAGGAUUCAUAAUUCAUUUUCACAUUUAUUAUAAUAAUUAUGUAAUAGUAAUACUGUGAUGAAAUAUUAUUCUAAAAAGUUUUAUUCACAUUUAUUUUCUUGAUGCUCCUACAAAGAGGCCUCUAACUAUGUAAACUUAAUAAAUUUAGCUGUUUGUAAGAGAGCUCUUACUAUUAAAAUUUCAUUGCAAUAAAUUUGCCAUUAUGUUAAUGAAAGUGACUGCUAUUUCAGCUAAGAAAAUAUUAGAGGUGAAGCAUGGGCUAGCUAGCUCUCCAGAGGUGCUUCAAAUGUCAAAAGACAUAGGGUUCUCGAGGGUGUUUGUGAAAAUUGCUUGCUUCAGCUCAUCAGCAACGGCUAUAUUCCCCGCGAAGCGAUUGGGGGGGGGGGGUUGGUUUGAAAAGCCAGAAACCCCAACACCGUCCUCCCUCAAAUAAAAAGGGAUCACCACAUCCCAAACCUAUCUGUCUCAGCAAAAAGAAAAAAACUCUCAGGAGAAGGAGAAAGAGCUCUUUUCUCGCCCUGCAACGAUCUCAAUCAGUUCUCCCUGAAAGAAAAGCUCUCGUUUUGCGUUCUUCUUCUUUGUUUUCUAAUUGUUCUGCUCGCUAACGUUUUCUUUGGUGCAGGGUUUCUCUUUAUCUUAGUUUUAAUCUGCGUAAUUAUUUUUUUAUUUUGUGUUCUAGUCUUUGUUUUCUUGGAUUUUUUGUUUGCUGCUAACAAUGGAUGCCGGAAGUUUCUCUUCUUGCAUCUCUUCCGAGAAGGCCCGGCCUGCAUCUCGCCACCCUCUUCGAGCAGUCGGUUCAAGGCCUUACAUGCCUUCUCUCCUUUCUUCAUCGAAGGAUUUUUCUUCCCGGCAGAGCGUAAGCAUCAUCUUUCUCUUAAAGAAUAUUUGUGAUCGGCAGGAAUUAGUUCUUUUCCGUACAUAUGGGUUUUGUCUCGUUGUCCUAUGAUUUAUAUGCGUAUGUUUUUUGUCACUCAGAUGUUUGUUAAAAGUUCGAUGUGAUUUCAAGAGAAUUUUUUUGUUUUGCCCCUUUUUCUGUUCCUCAGACGUUUUCUUUCCUGAUUUUUGUGGAAAAUUGCUGGUUCGUGUAAUCAUCUUGGCUUGGAUUUAUUUCAGGGCUAUGCUGAUGUUUCCGUGCUUUGGAUUCAAUUUCUUGGCUUCUUGAUAUUACGAGUCCUUUUGAAAGAAUUCUUUUUGCCUCUUUUCUGUCCCUAAGACAUUCUCUUUCCUGAUCUCUGUGGAAAAUUACUGGUUCAUAUUUGACUUCAUGGAGAAAACAUUUGUUUUUAGGGCUAUAUUGAUGUUUCUGUGCUCUGCAUUUGAUUUCUUGGCUUGCUGAUUUCACGGGUCCUUUCGAAGGUUGCUUUCCUUGUUUGGCUUCAUCUUCUCCGUAUCAUCUAAACAUUCUUUGCAGUCUGUGAUCAAAUCUUUUUUCCUGGUCACCGUCCCUCUCUUGGAUGUGUGCUUCUCUUGCAAUCUCUUGAAAGUUCUAUUCCUUUAUGGAAUUCUUAAUACUCUCUUCUUUAGGUGUUCCAUUUUCUGGUUUCUGUGUGAAAAUACUGCUUUCUUGGGCUUAAUUUUCCUUUUUGGUCAAUUGAAGGGAGGAGAUAGAUUCAUUCCGGACCGGUCUGCCAUGGAUUUUGACCUGGCCUACUACCUGCUAACAGAGAGAAGGACAGAGAAGGAGAACGCUGCAGCUGCAUCCCCAUCCAAAGGGACAUACAGAAGGCUUCUUUACGAGAAUCUUCUGAAUAAUAGAACUCGAAUUCUUGCUUUCAAGAGUAAGCCCCAGGCACCUGCGGAAGGUAUCCUCCAAGAAGCCCACUCCAAUGCCUCUUCCCAUCUGGCCAGGUUGGCAAAGCCACGGAGAUACAUUCCCCAGGUGAGUUUUCUUCUUCUUCAGCAACGUCUUGUUGUCUAUAUUUCGUUCUUCUUGGCCAAAUGCUGUUGUUUCUGUUCUCAACUUUCUUGGGUUUUUUUAUUAUUGGCAGUCUCCUGAGAGGACUCUUGAUGCACCAGACCUUGUUGAUGACUACUAUCUGAAUCUGCUGGAUUGGGGAAGCAGCAAUGUUCUGUCGAUCGCCCUUGGGAAUGCGGUGUAUCUCUGGGAUGCUUCAGAUGGUUCUACAUCCGAGCUUGUCACCGUGGACGAAGAUGUGGGUCCAGUCACUAGUGUCAGUUGGGCUCCUGAUGGGCGGCAUAUUGCUGUUGGUUUGAACUCCUCUGACAUCCAAUUGUGGGACUCGAGCUCCAGCAACCUGGUUAGUGUCAUUUCUCUGCCCCCUUAUUUUUGUUUGCCUAUUCUUUGGGUUCAUGUGAAAUUUGAAUUUGUGGGAUUUGGGUUGAUUGAUGAAUCCAGGCAAAGAUAUAAUUUUUAUUUGGCCUGCAUUUGCAUUACUUCUGAAAAUAUUCUUAUCUGUUCUUGUUGACCUGGGCUGAUGAAUACAAUCGAAAAAGUUCUAUGGUGCGGUUGCUCAGAAACUACUAAAAUUAUUAUAUAUCAAAUAUGAAGCUUUUAUUCACUUGCUGAAAGAACUUCUCCGGAUUCUUUUUCUUUUGCAGAUUGUGAAUCUUGAAGCACUUGUGGUUCUAAAUAGUGUACUAUGCAGUAGUUCUUGAUUCCUUGUUGUAUCCAACCUGAUGGUUCUUGUGGUUUCUAAAUACUUGUUUCUUCUAAAUUUGCAGUUGAGAACUUUGAGAGGAGUCCAUGGAUCUCGAGUUGGAUCUCUUGCUUGGAACAACAACAUACUCACAACAGGGGGGAUGGAUGGAAAGAUCGUUAAUAAUGAUGUGAGAGUAAGGUCGCACAUUGUGCAAACCUACCGAGGACAUCAGCGAGAGGUCUGCGGGUUGAAGUGGUCAGGCUCAGGACAGCAGCUGGCAAGCGGAGGCAACGACAACCUGCUUCACAUAUGGGACCUAUCCAUGGCCUCUUCAAAUCCAUCUCCAGGCCAAAAUCAGUGGCUCCACAGGUUGGAGGACCACAUGGCUGCGGUUAAGGCCCUUGCUUGGUGUCCCUUCCAGAGCAACUUGCUCGCAUCCGGUGGUGGCGGCGGCGAUGGGUGCAUCAAGUUUUGGAACACCCGUACCGGGGUCCGGUUGAAUUCAGUGGACACUGGCUCUCAAGUGUGCUCCCUGUUGUGGAAUAAGAACGAGCGCGAACUGUUGAGCUCUCAUGGCUCUACUCACAACCAACUGAUUCUCUGGAAGUACCCUUCGAUGGUGAGGAUUGCGGAGCUCACAGGCCAUACUUCUCAGGUUCUCUUCAUGGCUCAGGUAUGUUUGAUAUUUUCUUCAGACUUAACAUGGUCAUAGAUUUCUGAUGACUUUAUUUAUAUGUUAUAAAUUUGAUUGUUGAUGGGGUCUAUUUCUAUUGGAAUUUGCAGAGUCCAGAUGGGCGCAUAGUGGCAUCUGUGGCGGGGGAUGAAAUGCUGAGAUUUUGGAAUGUAUUUGGAACUCUUGAAGCACCAAAGCCUGCUGCCAAGACAGCUAGUACAGGACCCUUCUCCAGUUUUAAUCACAUUAGGUGAAAAAGGAGGUGGAGGAAGGGGAUGGGUCUCCAUCUGAUCCUUGAAUGCAUGGCGUGAUGGAAAGAAUUGGGAUGGAAGACGUAGCCUGCUGCAAGGUAGUUGAAGUUUUGAAACAUUUUGAAAUUUAAUGUCAUCAAAUUUUUGCCGUAGUUUAUAUGUAUUAAUCUUUGGUUUUCUCAUGUAUUUUGUUGCAGAUCAUAUUACUGGCAGACCAACUUCUCUUGAAAGGUGAAUUAUUUCAAAACCUCAUAAUUUACUCAAGCAAUUUUGAUUUUAAAUUAAGAUACAACAGAUAAACCUGAUCUCAUCAAGGCUUGAAAUUUAUUCCAAAUUGGUGAUAUCAAAUUUGUAUAAAUCUUGUGCUGCAUGAAUUUAGUGUUAGUGCUGCAUGAAUUUAGAUAAAACUUAGAUUGAAUUUAGUGUUAGUGAAUAUAAAAUACACUUUAUACCCCCUUUAUAAAAAGCAAAGAAGAAAAAGAACAUCCUUUCUUUUGUUCUUUGGUUUUGGCCACUAAAUCAUCUAAUUAUAGUAAUUUAAGAAAGGAUAGACAAAUAGUAAUCAUCAAAUUUACACAGAAUUUUGAUUUUUUUUUAAACGAUCAAUAAUUGUGGUUAAGUUUUGUGGCUAAAGUUUAAACCCAUGGGAGCGGCCUCUGGGUGCAAUCCCUUUUUCUCAACCCAUAAAAAAAUUUAGAAAAGAAAAGAAAAUAAAAUAAAAUUUUAGUGCUACUUUUUGUAAAUAUUUUGCUUUAUUUUUUUCCUUUUUUUCUCUUUUUUGGGUUUAACUGCCUUUUCACAUUUUUGUGUACUCAAUUUGGUAAGAAAGACUAAGAGGGGACUAGGCACGAUUAAAUUUCCUAAGAAGGCCGCUUUAGCGGCCGACUCCCUGUUUCGUUCGAAAUAGAAGUCGGGCGCUUAAAACAUUUACAACUUCAUAAGUGAAGUCGGCAUAUCGAUUGCCGACUUCACUUACGAAUCAACAGAUUUUUUAAGUGGCCGACCCUUGUAUCGAACGCUAAAGCAGCAUAUCCCUCCCUCCCUCCACUCUCUCUCUCUUUUCCUCUCUCGUUCUGCCUCUCUCAGAGGUCGGCCGCUUAAGCGGCCCUUCUUCCCCGGCGUCGGCCCCCUCACGGCCUCUGCUGGGCUUCGCUGGCCCUCCACUGACAUCCUCUCCCUCUCCCUCUCCCUCCAUCUCCCCACUCGCUCUCCCUGCCUUCUCCUUCUCCGGCUUCGAGAAUGCAUCCCAUUUUUUGAGCCGGAACUAUAUCGGUGAGCCAUCGGUACGGUUUGAAGCUGGCGGAACCGGCCGAUUCGGGUUGGUUGCGCCGACGGUUUAAAAGGACCACUAUGAAGCUAGAUGGUAAAAAAAUAAUAAUAAAAAAUAAACCAUUUAUAUAAAAGUACUAGAUAUAUUACUAAACUAUGAAAAUGAAAUGAGAUACCUAGUUGAAUUUAUUUAGUGACUAGUUGCAACUUUGCUGUCAACUGUAGGCAUAGAAACAAUGGAAGCCAAAUAUCAUUUGGCAUAAAGAGACCAGCAUAAUAAUGACACCAGCCUGGCACUCACAUGGUUUGCUUUAUGCUGUGCCUUUCUAUUCUCUUGCUUGGUAGACACUGGCAUAGUAGCAUGCCGAGUGCAAACACACAGCCAGUAUCAUGUCAGUGCUAGAUGCCCAUAAGGCACUGGCAUAUACAUAGCGAUCCUGUAUGGAUCAGCACUUAAAUCCAAGAGUAGCAAGGGUUUUAAGUUUUAACUAUGAUAAUUGAAAAUAAAAUGAUAAAUGAGAUAAGCUCCAUAUGAGGCCACAAAGAGAAUUCAAGUGAAUGAGGCCAAAAGGAAAAUUUUCCUUCAGCGAUGAAGGGUUACACUAAUAGUGCUUAUUGUGAGAACAAACAUGAAGAUUGGAUGGUGGAAAAAGGUUCACUUUUCUGUAAUCUUUGCAUACCCUGGUGCAUCUUCAUGGAACAUGUUCUAGGAAGCACAAUGCCUUGAAAAGAAGCUACAUGUAGCAUUACAAACUACAAACACAAUUUAAUUUUUAGAUUAAGUUAGCUAAUAUAAAUGAUGUAUCAUUUUGAUUAUUUAAGGUAGAAUGUAUUAAGCAUUGCACAUGCAAAUUAAAAAGAAAGGAAAAAGAAAAAUGCCAGAUAACCAUUGAAGCACCUAGGCAGAUUAAAUGGCUAUUUAAGUGUUUGAGCAAAGUUCAAUAGCAACCAAACUAAAAGACAUAUGACAUUUAUGUAGGAAAGGCUUAAGUGGUUUAGCACCAUGUAGCCAUUUGAGCGGCCAACUAAGCACUUAAUAAUUGUUUUUGAUAAACAUUUGAAUGACUGUCAAUCCUAAAAGCAUUAUUCUCUUUUAUCUAUUUGUUCAUAAGUGUAACAUGUGAAUACAAAGUCACAAUGUGGUAUGGCAUCUAUUCUUUCUUGCAAGGACAAUAAGUCAAACAUGAUCCAUAGUCAAGUAAGAUAGCACAAGAAUGGUUUAUUAUGAAGAGUAAAACAAUUCCUGUCUUAAAUUCAAUAUCUAACAUUGCACUUAAGUCAGCCAAGUCUAAUGCUGGUUGCCUUCCUUGUGAGAGGUUCAGAUUAUAAAAGCAUGGUCAAAAGUGAAUAAUAUCCAGGCAAUUUUACUACUCUAAUGCAAGGUCUUGAUGGCUGAAAUAUUAAGUCUCAAUUGCUUUUUAUUGUCCUUACACUAUCAAGCCUAGGGUGACUAUCCAGACACAUCCUCCGAAUGCUAGUCAUCCACAAUAAAAAAACUAGCUAGGGACCUGUCAAAAGAAUGCACUAGAAAAUUUUCCGUUUCUUUUGAUAAAUUCGCAUUCAUGCUUUACAAUAGAUAUCUUUUCCUAUAAAUGUUCCCUUUCAUCGAGUAAAAUGGAAGUGUUAAUCCACCGAUUUUUUUUAUAAAAUUUUACUUUUCCAAUUUGUUCAGUUAGGAAAAAAAUAGCAAUUUUAACAGUAUGAAACAAAUUUCUAAUAGUUUACAAACAUUCUAUGACAAAUUAGUAAAGAGAAGAACUAAAGAAGAGAAGAUUGUCACAAAUCAUAACAAAGGGUAACAUACAAAAGAUCGAUAACAUAAUACGACAACAGCUGUAUUCUAACUCAUAAUAACUACAAAUUAUGGUACACAUGUAGGACUGUCUGCAAAACAUAAAUUCAAAUCCUAUCAUUUAAUACCAUUACAGUACAAAUUUCCAAAGGAUGCACUAAAAAAGCAUGCUCGAAGCCAUAACUGCAUACUGUAGCCUAUGGCUCUCAGUAGUUCCAUGUCAUUCUUUACAUACAAAAUGUUGCUAGGCGCAAUUCAGUCAGAAACUUGGCAGUGAAUAUUGAAGAAUUUCAUUAACUUUGGAUGUGGGAUCAACAUCAGCUAAGAAACAGAGAAAAGGUGAAGCUGUAAAAUUCUUAAUUAUAUAUACAAUGUGCCUUUUCAUUGUUUUAUGAUUUAAUUAGAAAAUAGAAACACCUUAAUACAACAUCAAAUGUUGAGGAAUUGCCAAAACAUUACUACUUCAAGUCUAGCGGGUUACUUCGCUAGCAUUUUAAUUUAUAUUAUUUGUCAUUGCAUUUAAUGUCCAGUUUAUUACGUAUGGAAAUAAGUACAAUUACCACAUUGGCCGAUAUUAUGAUUGCAGUGUAUAUUACUAUGUUCUGAGCUUUACCUGGACAGUAAAGAAUACAAAUUUCCACAAAAAUGAGGGUUACCCAAGCUCCUGUCUUUUCUUUUGAAAGAGCAGAAAGUGGUCUCGGAAACUGCUUCCUAAUAAAGGUGGUGGAAAUGAGGAGGCACUGAUAAAAACAAAAAAACAAUCAGAUAGCAAUUAUCCAACUGUAUCAGAAUUGUGCAAUAAUAGCAUGAGCUAAAGAAAAACUAAUAAACAAUAAUAUAGUAUAUUAUAAUACUUAAGCUGAGUUUUGUACCACAACCUCAACGUUUGAUUAUCCAGGUCAAUCUAGAAAAGCCCAAACCCAAACCCAAUGGAGGAGAUGCUUAAAUAAGUGCGAUGUAUAAAAUGAAUUGAUUGUCCAAAUAUAGUAGCAGCUGCUAAAAUAAACAGAAGUCAUAUACAUGAUGUUUGCUGAUGUUGUUUGCAUUGCUGUAUUAUGUAUGUAGGCAUAUUAGUUACUCAAGAAUUCAUGAAGCAUAAAAACAUGUCCUAUGAGUGGUCGGGGCUCUCGUUAUUAUACAUAGUGCAGAAUAAUCAAGUUUUUUGUGUGUAUAUCUUCCUAAAUAUACGAAAUUGAUGAAUACUCUUACAAAAAAAUUAUUUGCACGUAUAAUCUCAUAAAAUGCUUGUUUUGCAAGUAUAACCUUCUUUUUCUUUUGUUUCUUUGCAUAACUACCCAUGCCAUCUAACAUUGUUAAAAAAUGAAUAGUUAAAAAAUGAAAGACUGAAAUACCCUUAAUAGGUAAAUGUGCAAAAAGAAAAAUUUAUAAGGGUAUCCAUGCAAAUAGCAACUUCGUGAGGGUAAUCAAACAAUUUUGCAUAUUUAGACAGAUAUACACAAUUCUAUGAUUUUUGUCCCAUGGGGGAAGGACAAUUCCUCCAAUCCAUUGAACACUGAGAUUGACUACUGCAAGGACCAACAAGAGGCCCCAUAAACAUCAAAGAACCCUAUAUUAAUUCGCAAGACACCGAACACUACUUACUAACACCACAAACCCCUUUUCCUCUCACGGUUACUUCCAUGUGUGCUCUUGUGUUCCAAACAACCGUACGCACCUGUCAGCCCCAAUAAUUCCUCAUUCUACCUAUUCUUCAUAAUUCUACUGAAGAAUGAGGGUUAACUUAUUGAAGCUUUGGCUUGAAAAAGUACAUAUUUGGAUGGAUAGGAGAUGCUUAGCUAAUAGAUGCUAAGACAUCCUAAUUAUCUUAUUAUAUUAGAGAGUGUAUGAAGAAAACCAUAUGGCCAAGUAUAAGAAGACACACAAGCACUAAAUCCCAGCAAUGAGGUGUCAAGUAGAGAAAGAUUAAGUUGAAUGUUAUUAUGAAAUGUUUAUGAAGGCAAAGAAAGGUGUACUUGGUGCUUUUGCUUACCGGAAAAGUUAGUGUAUGGGUGUUCAUUUGCAUGUACACAUGAAUAAUUAGUAAUUGUGGGUCCUCAGGAGUUGUAAGGAAUGUGACCCAAUGCAUGGGAGGUAAAAUUCAAAGUCUAGCUCCAUGCUUUAGAGCAAUUUUCUAGUUUUGUGGGCCAAUUAGAGUCAAAUGACCAGUAAAAUUAUCAAAAAGGUCAUGAUGAUGUGCAGACUUGAAUAGAGGUCCUUGUCAAAUUAUUCAUGCUCCUGAAUGGUUUCAAUCAUGGAGUUAUGUAGCCCAUAUACCAGCAUGUUUCUAAAGAGUACUCCACGAUCCAGGAUCAAUCUUGGAACAACUUGGAGGGCAACUACAAAGACUUCAACAACACCAAGGUUCCCUCUGAAACCAUUAAUUAUAUAUAGUUUACGCGAAAAUAAUCACUCUUAUUCAUCCUGUCCAGCCUUAAUUUUGAUUAUCUAAAUAAAAACUAGCGGUAUUGUAAAAGUUGCUGGUGACUUUUACAGUAACAAAAAUUAAAGGACUACAAUAAUGUUAUUUGACUUGUUUCAUAGCGAUGUAUGCAAAAUAAAGAAAUAUUUUCUGAAUUGUUUCUCUAAGUAUAUAUUAUUUUGCUGGGCAAUCAAUAAUCAAGUUUUGUUCAUUAAAAUGAAAUAGCAGCUAAAUAAUUGCUGCUUUGUAUUUUUCUUACUGCAAAUAAAUAUUUAAUGAGAGUAUACAAACAAAUAGCAACUUUGCAAGCGUAUUUAUGCAAUUUUGCACAUUUAAGAGGGUAUACACUCAAAAAACUCUAGAAUUAUCCCUUCCUGUUCCAAAAUAUGCUCCUCAGGUUACAUGGUGCUAGGGAAACAAGCUCAAUUACCUCCACAUGUUAGCAUGAUAUUCUUGAAUACUCUUCAUAGAUCCACAAAUCUAAUACCAGUUGGAUUUUACCAUUAAUACCCUUCAAACAGGUUUUGCCAGCAGUUUCCACUGAACAAACACCACAAUCUUGCAAAUUCUCCUAGGUUAUUUUUGAGAACCUUGAUUAAAGCCAUCAAGAAGACCAUGGAGGUUAUUUCUUUGGGGAGACCCAUAUUCAAUCCUCACUUGAAUUCGGCAACUCAAAAGGCACCUAUUAAUGUUUGAUAUAGAUCUGAUCCAAAAGAUCAAACCUUACAAUAGGUAGGUAACUGAAAUAAAUUUCAGAUCUGAAAAUAAAGAUGAAAUCUAAAACAUUUUUAGAAUUUUAUUCAGGAAAUCUUCAUUGCAAAACAAAUCUUUGCUUGCAAAGGCAAUCAAUUUUUACAAUCUGGGACAAAUACUCAAGCCGAUAAAAAGAAGAUGAAAAAGAAAAUUAUCUAAAAUAAAUGACUACUUAAAAUUAAAACAUAAAAAAUUAUCUAAAAUAUUCAAUCCAAACUUAAUUUGAAAUAAAUUAUGUUAAACAAGGAAGGCCAAAGCGGACCGAUCUAUUCGGUUCGGCUCGUACCGAGCGGACCUGGUGAGAUACCAGGUCAGUUUGGCCAUCAGAGUCGGUUUCGGCCCCAAAUUGCCCGAAACCAGUUUCGAACUGACCAAACUGGCCGAAAAAGGUCUGGAACCAGCCCGAAAUCUGCCCGAAAUCGGCCGGUUCUGUUCGAACACGGUGCGAACCAGACGGUUCGCUAAUAAAAUGUUGUUGGAAAGGUUCGAGAAGGCUUUCCCACCAGAGCCGACGUACUCUUAAGAGCAGUCUCGAAGAAUGGGAAACGAUACACUCCAAGGCCCCAUUCCGGUAGGGACUCCGUCCAGACCCUCUCACCUGUUCACCCCAUGGAGCACCUGCCUCAGUGAGAUUCCGACAUUGAUAGGAGAGUCGAAGAAAUGGGCUGCGAGAUUCAGGUCCUCAAAGAGUAGUCUCGGAAGGCGAAUAAUGACCUCAACUUCUCCUCAGAGCUCCUUUCACAGAGGCAUAUCAUGAAGGAACCGAUCCCAAUUCAGUUCAAGAUGCCCCCCUAAGUGGAACUAUAUAACGGGACCACCAAUCCCCUCGAUCACUUGGAGUGUUACAAGGCUCAUAUAAUGCUGCAUGGAACCACCGAUGUCGUGCUUUGCAAGGCGUUCCCCGCGACCCACUUUGUCUCCAGUCGGAGACGGUGUCACAGAGGCGGCUUGGUUCUAGUUCUCCGGGCUUCGGCCCAAUUCCAUCUACACUAUCGAGCAGCUCGCCCGCCUCUUUUUGACCCACUUUGCCUCCAGCCGGAGACGGCGCACUGAUUCAGACACGCUGCUAUGCAUCAAGCAACAAGAGAAGGAGACUCUUAGGGUUUAUGUCAGCUGCUUCAUGCGGUGAUGCUAGAGAUCCGCAAUUUGGAUCAGUCAGUCGCGAUGUCAGCAAUGAAGUGUGUUGCCGCCAAGAUCUGACCCAAUCUAAUGGCUCUUUGAGAUUAGUGCUGGAUUGGUCGGCAAGGAGGAAAGUCGGAUCCAAGAAACAAAGGAUCUCAACAACUUCCCUCGAAAGAGUUGCUGGGCUCUCUAAUGACUCAUAAACUUACCAAGAGGCACAAUAGUGAAGAAGAGUUAAAGAAGAAGAGGACGAUUGCUUUGAAGUCAGUAAUUCAGGAAGAAGAGGAAAGUGAGGACUCAGAGGAUGCUGAGGGUGAUAAGGAGAUAGCCUUAAUCACCAAAAAGUUUAGAUGAUUCAUGAGGAGAAAAGGCAAGGGAUGAGAAAAAGGCCAAUGGCUAAUGGGGAGCUAAGCAAAGAGAGAGAAAAGUAGCAGCCACUAAUAUGCCACGAGUGUAAGAAAUCUGGCCAUUUCAUAGCAGAUUGCCCACUGUUCAAGAAAGCCCCUAAGAAGCCAAAGAAGAAGGCAAUGAUUGCAACUUGGAGCGACAAUGACGAGUCAAGUUCAAAGGAGGAAGAAUAAGAAACAACAAAUCUUUGCCUCAUGACUAAUGAGAAUGAGGUAAAUUCUGCACCUAAAAUGAUUUUACUUUUGGUAAACUUCAAGAAGCUUUCUAUGAGUUACUAGAUGAAUUAAAGAAGAUAGGACUGAAGAAUAAAGAUCAAAAAAUGAAAAAUCAAUUUUUGACAAAUAUGAAAAAGAUGAAAUUUCAAAAGGGAAGCUAUUAUUAAUAGGAGAAAAAUAGAACUUAAGAAAAGAAGUAGAUAGAUUGAAACCAAUUGUAGACAAAUUCACCUUAAGUUCUAAAAAUCUAAAAAUGAUCUUAGAUGGCCAACGUACUUUUUAUAUUAUGCAGGACUUCACUAUAAUCCUUUGCAAAAACAGAAGCUUUUAAAAAAAAAUGUUGUUAAAUCAUCAAGUAAUCACUCAAGUCCUACAGUAUGGUACAAUUGUGGAAAAAUAGGCACAAAUCCUUCAAUUGCAAUUCUAAGAUAAGUGGCAAAAUAAGUAAAAUAGCAAUUAAAAGUAUAUGGGUUCCUAAGGGGACGAUAAUUGCUCACCAUCAAGGACCCAAGAAAGCUCAGGUACGAAAAUCAAAAACUUGAUUUUCUGUGAUGUAGGUGUGUCUAUCAGCCCAUGGGUCAAAUACAAGAAAAAUAAGUAAAAGUAACAAUUAAAAGGAUAUGGGUUCCUAAAGGGACCAUAAUUGCUAACCAUCAAGGAUACAAGAAAUCUUGGGUACCUAAAUUAAAAACUUAAUUUUUUAUGAUGCAUGUGUGUCUAGCAGCCCGUGGGGCAAAUAGAAGAUGAUAUUUGGAUAGCGGGUGCUCAAAACACAUGAUGGGAGAUGAAUCACAGUUCAUUUUUCUUCAGACAAAGGAUGGAGGGGUGAUCACCUUUGGUGACUACAGAUCCCCUCCAAAUUAUAUAGUCAUUGUGGAAAAUCUAGGCCCCAUGUUCUUUUAAGGAAACAAGCAUGCUUAUUAAUUAAAAUGACAAACAAGAGCCAUGUAGGCUAUGCAAAUGUUUGGAAGGAAGCUAUCCCACUAUAGUUGGGUCAUAUAUUUGGCCCAUGAUAUCUCAUAUUAAUCUAUGGAAAUGUAGAUAUAAAUGACCUUAAUGGGCUAUUUCAACUAAUAGAUAAAAGAAAGAAAGAGUUUCUCAUUAGUGUCAGCAUUUACCUACCGUAUUCAAUUGGCAAGACAUUUAAAUGAUCAAUUGAUUGUUAAAAUUUUCAAUUUUCUUUUCAAUUUCGAGUUACUCAAAGUUGUUUAACACUAUAAACUAUGCAACCAUAAACCAAGCACAAGAUUUGGUUAUAACUAUUGACAUUCUAUUUGAAGAAGAAAAAAAGAUAAAUGAUCAUCAUGACCCUAGCAAUUAAUUUUAGUUAGUUAUAAAAAGUUGAUAGAAAUUAUUUGUAUAUGUUACACAGACCAAUCCAUUAGGAACAUGGUUUACAAACAACCUGAUCUAAUAGUGCACUUUGUAUUCAAUAAAAUUUCUAACAAUUUUAUACAAUAUUGACAAUUUAUAAGAGCUACACAAUAAUAUUGAAAAAUAAUUCAAGAAUGAAAAUAUUGGGGAAAAUUAGUAUCACUAUUAUUUGUUAGUAUUGUGAAAACGAACUAUUAAAUGACCCAUUUAUUUGGUUGUAUCAAAUGCAACCCUUUUUUUAAAUACUAAUAGAUAGUUAUAAAAAGUUUCUUUUGUAGUACUGCUUUGAAAAAUGGAUCUAUCAUACUUUAGAAUAUGUAACUUACAAUAUUCGAGUAUAGUGCUUCAUUGCGCCACAUUUGAAUCCUUGAAGACUAGUCCUUUUUAGGGUUAUAUGGUCCUUUUCACCUCAUGUCUCUCAAUCCAUGCAAAACUUUUUCAACCAUUGAUGCUGGAAGCUUUAAAACAUAAAAAUAAUUUGAUGAAAUCAAGUAGACAUGCAUUUUAUUUUAGAUAUAAAUAUAUCUGAGGAUAUGUGUCUAAUGUGGGUGUCAACUAGGUCGAUUGUUAAAGCCACUACAGAUGUACUAACAUCCUAGGUUCUAGUUCCACCUACACAUGGCUUGAUAAAGGUUAAACCUCUCCCCUUCAACAAAUAAGAAGUAUACACUUAAAUAAGUGAUUACCAUGACAACUUCCACAAACUUAAUAUUCUAGUGAGAGUUGCGACAGAACAGAACAAAUGAGCGAUUGCAAUAGAUACUGAUUCCCAAGCAGGAAGAUAGGAAGUAUUGAAAGACAGAUCGAUCUAUCUCUUUUAACGAAUUGCCUGAUUGCGAUAAAUAAAUAUAAAAUAGAGAAUAGAAGUUAUUUCUAUAUCUAUCGAUAACCCCCAUUUUUUUACUAUGAAUUCCCGUUUGUUGGAUGGAUCGAAUUAGUUAGAGUCGCAAACUCCUAAUAUGUUGCCUAGUAGAUACAACCCAAGAGGGGGGGUGAAUUGGGUCUUUUAAAACUUUUAUACUACUUCUAAGACUUUUUAAUUAAUUAUGCUAAGUUGUAUAGAUGCAAGGUGGAAUUUAAACUUAGCAACAGUAUGAUUUAUUGAAUGAGACUUGAUUAAGUAAAUUGAGUAUGCUUUCAACUAAGGGAUGCGUAGAUAAGAGUUAAGCAAGCAAUUUAACUAAGUAAGUGAGCAAGUUAGACAAUGACAAAAAGCAUCACAAACACAACAAACAUAUAGUGGUUCGGUGCACCCCAGCACCUACAUCCACUCCCCAAGACCUCUUGGGAUUUUCACUAUAAUCCUUCAGAUUACAGCGGGUUGUUUUACAAGCUCACAACCCAACUUGUUGUUUUGCGAGAUCACAACGAACUCGGUCGGUUUUCACAGGCUCACCGACUAUAACCAACCGAUUGUUUUUCCGGGUUCACAAUCAAACCCAGUUGGUUUUUCCAAAGGCUCACCAACCAAAACCUUACAACGAUUGUUUUCCGGGUUCACAAUCAACCCAGUUGGUUUUUCCAAAGGCUCACCAACCACAACCUUACAACGUUGGUUUUCCCUUUGGCUCACCAACAAACCUUAACCCCUUGAUUCAAUCCCUUGAUUGAAUCAAGUUACAAGAUCUUAGAACAAGAGUUUAAAUCAAAUACAAGCUUCUCACUUAAGCAAAUAUAGCAACUAUAAAUAAGUAAAGUAAAGAGAAGAAGCCCUCAAACUGAUUCGUAGAUGGAGGAACUCGGCUUCUUCUUCACUUGACCCUCUUCUGAAGUAGAGGAUCACACAAGGCAGCACACAGUUGAAGAGGAAGCUUUGGGAUUCACUUGGAUGCUCUUCUUCUCUCUAUUUUGCUUUGACUGGCCCUUUUGUGCUUUUGGGAGAAUUCUUAGUCCUUUAGUUUCAUUGUUCUCUAACGUUUUCUUUGGUGCAGGGUUUCUCUUUAUCUUAGUUUUAAUCUCUGUAAUUAUUUAUUUAUUUUGUGUUCUAGUCUUUGUUUUCUUGUAUUUUUGUUUUCUGCUAGCAAUGGAUGCCGGAAGUUUCUCUUCUUCCAUCCCUUCCGAGAAGGCCCGGCCUGCAUCUCGCCACCCUCUUCGAGAAGUCGGUUCAAGGCCUUACAUGCCUUCUCUCCGCUCCUCAUCGAAGGAUUUUUCUUCCCGGCAGAGCGGAGGAGAUAGAUUCAUUCCGGACCGGUCUGCCAUGGAUUUUGACAUGGCCUACUACCUGCUAACAGAGACAAGGAAAGAGAAGGAGAGCGCUGCAGCUGCAUCCCCAUCCAAAGAGGACAUACAGAAGGCUUCUUGCCGAGAAUCUUCUGAAUAAUAGAACUCGAAUUCUUGCUUUCAAGAGUAAGCCCCCGGCACCUGCAGAAGGUUUCCUCCAAGAAGCCCACUCCAAUGUCUCUUCCCAUCAGGCCAAGUCGGCAAAGCCACGGAGAUACAUUCCCCAGUCUGCUGAGAGGACUCUUGAUGCACCAGACCUUGUUGAUGACUACUAUCUGAAUCUGCUGGAUUGGGGAAGCAGCAAUGUUCUGUCGAUCGCCCUUGGGAACACGGUGUAUCUUUGGGAUGCUUCAGAUGGUUCUACAUCCGAGCUUGUCACCGUGGACGAAGAUGUCGGUCCUGUCACUAGUGUCAGUUGGGCUCCUGAUGGCCGGCAUAUUGCUGUUGGUUUGAACUCCUCUGAUAUCCAAUUGUGGGACUCGAGCUCCAGCAACCUGUUGAGAACUUUGAGAGGAGUCCAUGGAUCUCGAGUUGGAUCUCUUGCUUGGAACAACAACAUACUCACAACAGGGGGGAUGGAUGGAAAGAUCGUCAAUAAUGAUGUGAGAAUAAGGUCGCACAUUGUGCAGACCUACCGAGGACACCAGCAAGAGGUCUGCGGGUUGAAGUGGUCAGGCUCAGGACAGCAGCUGGCGAGCGGAGGCAACGACAACCUGCUUCACAUAUGGGACCUAUCCAUGGCCUCUUCAAAUCCAUCUCCAGGCCAAAAUCAGUGGCUCCACAGGUUGGAGGACCACAUGGCUGCGGUUAAGGCCCUUGCUUGGUGUCCCUUCCAGAGCAACUUGCCAAUUUGUUGUAAUGAGAUCAAAAUGUUGUGUUUCAAUUUGUUGUAAUGAGAUCAAAAUGUUGUGUUUUUUUCCUUGUAAUUUCUUCUAAAUCUCUUCCCUAAAUGUUCUCUCCCACUUCCAUACCUUCUCCCCUAGCUCUCCUCUUGAUUUUAUAGCUUUUGAUGGCGUGGAAACAAAAACUAGCCAUUAGAGACAAAAAUAGAGCCGUUAUGACCCGUCUGCACAUUCUGACAAUGUAUCCGUUGGGCUCGGAGUCGACUCGCGCAAUCUGGAGUCGACUCGGCUGUAGCAGGAGUCGACUCAUGCUUUUCUGGAGUCGGCUCGGCAACUGUUCUAGAUUUGAAUUAUAGUGGUUUUCUCGACUGGGAGUCGACUCGACUUAACCCGGAGUCGACUCGCCAAAAUCUGGAGCUGACCUUGCACUUUUGGAGUCGGCUCAUCCCAAGGAAUCCAUAGAUGUAUUCUUCAACUUGGCUCACUCGAGUCGACUCGUGAAUUCUGGGAGUCGACUCGGCGCUCAGAGGCCGAACUCCCGAUCUUCUGUCUUUUGGCUCGUGCAGUCUUGGAGUCGACUCGCCUCUCAGUGUCCGAAAUUUGCUCUCUGACUUUUGCCUUGUUUUUCUUAGGAGUUGACUUGCCAGCCAUCGGAGUCGACUCGAGUUCUUCAUGAGUCGACUCGGCUCUCAGGGUCCAAAAUAGCUUCUCUGUCUUUCUGUCUGUUACUCCCUGGAGUCGACUCGUUCUACUCUGGAGUCGACUCGGCAAGCAUCGGAGUCGACUCGAAUUCUUCAGGAGUCGACUCGAGGACUAUUCUUUUGAAUUUUCCUUUGAAUUUGCUCCUCCAACUUGAAUCCUUUGAACUUGAAACUUGGGCCAAUAAAUUGUAGCUUUCUUCCAACUUUUCUUGAGAGCUUUGGAGGCCUUCUUGUGUUCUUCCAACUUGCUAUGUUCUUUGCAAAAUAAAUAUUUUUCUCCUUGCAACACAAACAUUAGUAUUUAUACUUCAAGAUUUUGUGAUCAUCAAAAUCAAUCUUUAAAUCAAUCUUUGGGUCAUCAUAAUAAAAUCUUUUAUUUUCAUAAUAAACUCCUUAUUAGAUUAGAAAGAUAGAAAGAAAUAAGGAUGGAAAUGUCCGCUACACUUGAAUCGGUUAGCAAGUGGAUUGCACUUUUGCCUAUUUGAGAGGUGGGAAGGAAAGAGUUUUGGCAGCAAAUAGAGAGCAAGGUGCACAGAAGUCAGCGAAGGAGUGGUUGGUCACUUGGUCAGUGGUAGCGUGGAGACCAACUAAGCGGCCUUAAUAAGCAGUGGGAUCCUGCGCAACUACGAAGAGUUCUGAUUUUUGUAUCAAACUUUUAUAUUGAUUGAUAAUAUCAUGUGCAGAUAAUAUGUGAUGUAGGGAAUUUCAUGCAAAGGUUGAUAGUAGCAUUUUUCUUGACAAAUUGAGUUAAGCAAUUACCUGUAUUAGAAAGCUUGAUGGUACAACUGAAUAUGAAAUGCAUUUUAUUUUUCAUAAAUUCAUUUUUAGAAAGAUUGAGAUGGUUCUCUAUUUGGAGGGUAUUUUUUUUCCUUUAGGAUGAAAAAUUAAGUUGUGUUAUAAAAACUUUGAUGCCUUACUUUAUUAGAACUUAAUCCAAAUAAAAUCAUGAAGCUCUCACCUUCAACAAAUAUCUUUUUGGGCUUUCUAUAAGUUAUCCUAUUGAAUAAAUAAGAAAGAAUAAUUAAAGGAAAGGAAUAAAAACAUUGAACUAAUGAAUGUAAAUAGUAAUGCCUUCCAUCUUUGACCUUAAGAAAUAUUGCAAAAUUUUAAAAAUUGAGGCUAGUGAUCAUGAUCGAUUGUCGAGGCCAUGAUACUAGAUGAAAGCAUUGGAUUUGGAUCCUAUUUUUUUCAUUAAUUAAUGACGGAAAGGAAACACCAUAUUGUUUUGUUGGUAUUUCAUCUAAAGAAAAUAGAGGAAAUCAUUGAAUUUAGUUUUAUAAGCAACAUCACAAUUAGCCAAAGUUGGAUACAUAUGAUGAUCAUCUACUAUGUGCUUCGUUCUUUUGAACUAAUCACAUGCAUCGCUCUUCAAUUUAAUUCUACUUAUUCAUUGAGCUUCCUUGUGAAAUAUCUUCCCCCCUUCUUCUUGGUGAAGCAGAAAGUAGAUUGACUGGUUAGCAUGAGUAUGUAAACAACUUAUGGCACGAACAAAAAAAUAAAGAGCUAAUUACAGUUCAGCCACUUAAGGUUAGGCCUGAUUUCACUAAGCCCACCUAUGGUUUAACCCACCUAAAGUCAAUUCUGUCAGACUCUUUCGUGCUUCCUUACCCACCUUUGAAGUGAAAUAGCAUUGAGGGUUUCUUUUUCAUAUGAUUUUGCGCAAUUUUGAAACCUUGUUCUUCUCCAAAUCUCAAAAUGGAAGGUGUGUUUCUCCAAAUCAAAAAAAUUUCCACCAAAUUGAAGCCUCCAUUCUCCUAAUCGAAGUGGAAAAACGAGCAUGAAAUCAACAAAGAGGUACGUUGCAAUUUUUUUGAUUUUAGAUUUAAUGAGAUGAAUCUUUUUGUUUUUAGAAAAGAGUUGUUUGGGGAUUAUGUUGCUUGUUUUCAAAAUAUCAAACUUGGGAUUAGAAAUUAGUCUAUGGAUAUUACUAUUUUAUGAGUUUAUGAUUUUUUUCUUUCCGAGAGUGACGGCUUGAAAUUUUUUUUUGCAGUGGUUGGUCCCAUUUAACAGUGGUUGGAUUAGUUCAAACGAUUAUACAGUGUUACCUUUGCAUGUGAAAUUGUUUAUUACAGUGGUCGUUCCCAUUUAGUAGUGGUUGGAUUAGUCUAAAUGAUUAUGCAGUAGCUCCUGUGUAUGUGAAAUUGUUUAUUACAAUGUUCAAUCCUGUUUAGUAGAAGUUGGACUAGCUUAAAUGAUUAAGAAGUCAAUACAAGACUUUACCAUUUUAGUGGCAACUUUUUUAUGGCAACUAUCUAGAGUUGUCACUAAUACUGUGCUUUUUGUAACAAGUGUUCAAAGUUGUCACUAAUGUUAACCUUUUAGUAGCGGUGAUUCUUCUCGCCACAAAAUAUAUAAUAUUACUGGUGACGGCAUAAAUAGCUAAAAAAAAGCCGCGACUAAUGUCUCAUUAUUGUUGGCGGGUAAAAGGAUUUUGACACCAAAAUUACUUUUAGUGGCGAAUAUGAGACAUCGCCACUAAUAAUAAUAUUUUUAGUGGCAGCUUGAUUCAUUGUCGCUAAUAUUUAUCGUAAUAGUGAUGGCAAUGGAUACAUCACCACUAAUACCAUACUUAAGGUGACGAUGAUAGCAUCGUCACUAAUAUUGUAGUUAUUGGUGAUAGCAAAAUUCUACCACCACAAAUACCAUUAGCAUUUAUGGCGAUAUAUGUGCAUCAUCAUAACUAAUUCCAAGGACACUAGAGGCGGAUUCAUUUGUCGCCACUAAUAUAAUGCUCAAAAGAAUUUUUUUCUCGUUUCUUAAAUGUAGAUUGAAUUAAUACGAAAGCGUUAGUAUUAAUGAUUAUUUUUUAGGUUUUACGCAAUUGCUUUUUGAUUAUAACAACUUGUAAGAAAGAAAAUUUUAUUUUCACACCGGUAAUUACUAUUUUGAAUUGACAUAAAAAUAUUUCAAAUUAUACGUAUCUUUUAAAAUUUUACAUAGUUUCCUUCUUUUUAUGAUAGAUUAUAUUUUGUUUUGUACUGACCGAUGUAAACUUUUUCAGUUGGUAUAUCUAGUAUGAUUAUUAAUGAUGCGCAGAGGGUGUAGCUAGUAAGUACUAGGACCAACUAGACCAUAUCAAGCAUCGUAGGAACUAGUAGAUUCGGAAUUGAAAACUAAGAGACUAUACUAAAAGUAUCAGAAAAACAAAUGUUGGCAAUCAUGUGAUUUUACAGUAUAAAGUUUCUGAUGAGGAUCAACAACUUAUUUUCAAGAGGAUAUACAACAGAUACCAUGCCAGAAGGUGGGAUUCUUGGGUGGAUAAAGACCUAUCAUAAGUCUUGAUGGAUAUUUCCUUUAAGGAAAGAUUUGGAUGACGGCUACUUUUAGCUAUCUGUAGAGAUGGAAAGGAUCAAAGGAUAAUGUCUUUUCUGGUGCAACAGCUGUUGUGGAGCAAGAAAACAAAGACUCUUGGAGUUGUUUCUUCAUAUCUUCGAUGAAGAUAUAGGCAGGCCUGAUGAGAUUGGGAUAGUAUUCAUAUCAGAUAGAUAGAAAGUAUAUGUUUCUAUUAGUUGCAUCAUAUUUUUGCUAUUCCUUAGUUUUGUUCUGUUUUACCUGCAUACAAUAUUAAUUACAUGUCAGUGUCUAGUCCCUGCAAUUGAGUAGCUUUUUCCUAGGGUGAAGUAGGAGUACUACUAAGACACAUGUAUAGUAAUUUCAGGGAAUUUUUCAAAGAGGAGUUGAAAGAUGCAAUGUAGAAAGCAGCCUGUGCAACCAUUACCUUAGAGCAUAGUAUGCGGUACCCACCCAACCAGGUGGUACAGAGCAUAUCGGUCCGGUACCGGUAUCCGGUACAGAUGGCUAUCGAUAUUCCGUAUGUCAAAAAAACUUUGUACCAUAACCUACCGAUAUUGUGCUAGUAUGACACUGGUACGAAGUCCGAUACUGAGACGACGAACCUUACCUGAGAGUUUGAAAGGAGGAUGGCAUACAUCAGAACUAUUGAUGACCCAAGGCCUACUUCAGCAGUAGGGCCAAGAGUGGCUUAAGAAGAUCCCUCCACCCCAACGGUCCAAGGUCUACUUCAGCAGUAGGGCCAAGAGUGACUGCUUCCUCAAUAACUUGAAUGAGUAAUUCAAUGCCAUGAUUUAAUAUCCUGAAUAAGCCUGCCUAUAUUGUCUACAUUGGAGUGGAUUAGAGUUGGGUUGAUGAAAAGAUUUAAUAUCAAAAGACUUGGUAUGGAGAGGUACGUUGGACCAAUCUGUCCUAAUAUGCAGGACAAACUUGAGGUCCUAAAAUUGAAGUCUAGGAAUUAUUAUGCUACACUUGUAGGAAGGUUGAAUUAUGAUGUGGAUAAUGGAUAUGAAAAAUAUGUAGUUGACUUGACUACAAGGUCUUGCACAUGUAGGAUUUGGGAUCUCAAUAGGAUCCCUUGCAAACAUGAUGUGGCAGCCAUUAUCAAGGAUCUGCAACAGCCAGAGAGCUAUAUCCACUCUUGUUACACCAAGGAGGUUUACUUAACCACAUAUCAGGAGAUAAUUCAUCCAAUGCCAAGCCAAAAUAAGUGGAUUGAAACUGGCUUGCCUGCUCCUAUCCCUUCACAUGUACAUAGGCCUCUUGGCAGACCAAAAAAUUUAAGAAGAGAAAUAGAAGAAUAAGACUGUAAGAUAUGGAAAAUGGCAUAAAGAAGAGUACAAUUCAAGAGGGUGUAAAGCUAGAGUGAUUGGGGAAACUAUUUGGCAAAGGAGGAUGAGGAUUCAAAAGGAGAAAGUAGUCAGAUUACAUCCUGCUGAACUGCCAUUUUACAUUAAGACUGAUUAUAAUAGUUGUUUAUUCUAUCCCAAUUGCAAGUUAUAAUAGAGCAAAAUUAGUGGCCCUUACCAUAACAAAGGCAAAGCCACGACAUCUUUCAAGGUCUAAUCAUUGUUAGCUAACAGCAGUACAAAAAAUCUAUUGAUAUAAAGCCUUGAGCUAGGAAAAGGCCCUAACCAAGAAUCUGAUUAAUGUUGCAGCCUCCAAGAAUAUAUGGAACAACAGCUUGGCUUAGAUCACAUAUGUCACAAGGAUCUCAAGUGGAUUUUAAAUCCUAUUUCACUUGUAUUGGUGUUUAAGUUGUAUUAAUGUUUAGCUUGUAUGACUACAAUGCAGGCUGCUGCAAGUGUGGGUAGAGGAACAGCUGCUGCAGUUGUUGGAGGUGAUGCUAGUGGUAGAGGAAGAGGCUCUGGUAGAGGUUUUGGUUCAAGCACAGGUGGUCCAGUCAAGGGUGCAUCAGGGAGAGGACUUUCAUGAAGAGGUUCUUCAAGCAGAGGAGCAUGCUUAUUUUUAGGCAUAAGAGCUUCUGCCGGGGGUCCUUUAGGAUGUGCUUUAGGGAGUGAAUGUUCAGGAACAAGUUCAGGAAGAGGCUUAAGCACACUACUUCAGGCAGUGGAGCAGGCAGACAACCAAAGUUUGUACCAAUUGGUGGGAAAGGGAAGAAAACAUAGUGAUUAUAGAUUGCAAUGCAAUGUUUGGAACUUGUAAAUGAUUUUGUAUAGAAUGUAAUGUUGUAUGCAAUUUUGUUUUGGUUUUGGAAAGUGAUGUUGAACUUAGUUGUAUGGAAUGUAAUUGCAUAUUGUAAUACAAUGAUAUCUGUCACGCCCCGAGCCCGAGGCGCGGCAGACGCCGCACGCUUGCACGGCAGGCCGCACAGGCGUGCAAGGCAGCAGAUCACAUCAAGGCAAAUACGGAUGCUUAAAAAUGACAUAAAUUUUAACUUGUUCAAAAGCAGUCUUACAAAAUUUCAAAAUAGCAUAUGCCAGCAUAAUUCAAAUGUCCAAGCUAAUCUAACUAAAGGACCGAUAACUGAAGGAAUCGUCGGAAAAUCUAACGCACUCCCCAAUCCCGUGCGAUCAAGCCUUUGGAUCUGAAAAAUAGAGAAAACAGAAUAAUGAGCUACACUAGCCCAGUAAGCAACAAAAUACCCCAGAGUGGGGUCAAAGCAUAUCAGAUCAAAAUACAAAAUAAUGACUGGCAAUAAAUCACAAGUAACAUCAUUUUUCUCUUUUCAAAACUUAUCACUUUUACAAAAAUUCUGAUAUCAUAAUUUCAACAUAAUAGGCUACAGCCACGUAACCCAGUGGCAUGGGUUACACAAAGUGCCAAAUCUACUAUUUUUAUCCACCUAUGGCAGCCGGUGUUGCACAAAAGUACCAAAUCUACUAUAUUUACCCAUCGAUGGCAGCCGGUGUCCAAAUCCACUAUUCUAAUCAGCGUUGGCGCGGUGUCGAAACCGGUUCCUCACAGAUUACAAGUCGACAGGUCCAACGUAUGAUCCCCAUUGGCGGGGCCAGAACAGAACAGAUCAUAGCCAUGCUGAGAAUGCAUAUACAUAAAAAAUAGAUUUCAUAAAUUAUCCAACCAUAUUUUACAGAAUUCAGAGCAUAUAACAUAAUUUUCAAAUAAAAUUUAACAUGCCUGACCCUUUUACUGAAUACAAAAUAUAUGUCAAAAUUUAAUGAAUUUAUCAAAUAAUUUGAAAAAUUACACUUGAAUUAUUAAGUUACUUACCUCUUUUUGCUUUAAAUCCCACUUCAGGCAAACAUGUCAGAUACACCUGUUUAAUUAAUUUCUUUGUUAAUUUCAGAGCUAAGUAUAACCAAAAUCAAUAUUAUUGGACACGGCCCAACAGGGUCCAGAGUUGGCCCAUGAUGGGCAUGGCCGGAUAGGGCCCACAUCGGAUACGACCCAAUGGGCCCGCAUAGACCCGGCCCAAUAGGGCCCCCAAAGUUGGCCUCUAGAUGGAUUAUUCAUGCAAGAAAAUUCAUUGCAGGGACUAAUACUUAAUUACGGGGUACUGUUCUAUAAUAAAACUUGAGUGACGGGACUAAUUAAUAUAUUUGAGGACCUUUACAUAAUAAAUAUUUCUUAUAGGGAUCAAACAUAAAUUACAGAAGGCUCUUUUGUGCAAUAAUAUACUAUCAAGGGUUUAACUGUAAAAUUUCAUUUAUUGGCCAAACGGGUUCGGAUAUCGGAUCUGAACUGGGUUUCGGAUUUUGGGUCUGAACUGGAUUUUGGGUUUUCUUCUUUUUUUUGUUUCGGGUUUCGGGUUCGAAUCGGGCCCAAGUUGGGCCCGCAGUUAAUAGGGCCCAUGAACAUGACCCUUCUUCUUCCCCAAACCCCCCACGGACAGGGGAGGAAGAAGAAGAGAAAGAAAGGACCGGGGGGGGGGGGGUCUAGGCGGCCAGCCUAGGUGGCGGAGGCCGUUGUCUGGUCGACGGCCAGCUGGCGGCCGUUGCGGUGGCCGGGGUCGAGAAUCAACCGAGAACGGUCUCGAUUCAUGGGGCCAAAACAAAGGGAGGAAAGCAUGCCUGAUUCGACUAGAUCAAAGAGAAACAAGGGAAGAGGGCUUAUCGGUAGUGGCAGAGGCGGCGGAAGGGAGAUCUCGACCAGGGAGGGCUCGGUCCGGCAGCUAGCAACGGCGGCGGCGCUCAAAACUAAGGGGAUGGGUCACAGAACAGGGGAAGGCCACGAAGGGGAUUCGGACGGCGCUUGGCCAGGAGAGCACGCCGAUCACCAGGCAAAGGAGGAGGAAGGAAGGAAGGAAGAGGAGAAGACAGAGGAGAGGGAGGAGGGCUUGAAGGUGGUUUUAGGAGGAAGAGGAAGGGGGUUUUUAUCACCCCCUUGUAACGGCUCUCCGCCGCGUGGCCGCGGAUUGGCUGGAGGGGGGUGCCGCGGGAUGCCCGCGGCGCCUUCGCCCCGGUGGCACCCGAAGGAGUCGGAGAGGAUCGCAAUCACGAUCCUCUGUUCCGGUUCUUCCUAAAAAAGGACGCGGCUGAAGUCGGCUGGGGCUGCCGACUUCAGCCCGUAUCUCACAUUCUCUCCUCCUUAGAAAAAUUUCGUCCUCGGAAUUUAAGAGAUCUAGGCCUUUCAAAUUUAAAGAUCCUCAACACAUUGAGUAAUAUAAAUUCAAGAUCGUAUUCUUCUCGAUCAAAACCAGUGCGAUAGAUGACUUUGGAUUAGUUGUCAAAAACCAGCAAGAUUAGCAAUAGAUAAGUAACUAACUAAAAUCUAAGAUUGAAGUCGUCAUCUUGAUGUAAGUUCACUCUAGAUCGGAUCAGGAUCGAUUCACAACAGGAUUGAAAUUAUCAUCUUUCAAAUAGAUCUUAUACACUUAUCAUGAUAGUGUGCUGAUCGCUCAAAGGAUAAUGAACAACCUUAGAGUCAAAUCAUUAUAUGGCUAGGAAUGUAAUUCACGAAAAUGAACAUGUACUGAUGAUCAUUAGAUAGCAACAGUGUAUCUCAAAAAUGAUUUGCAUCAAAUCACAAGAGCAAGUCUGAGAAAAUAAAGUAUUGAUACCAUGAUUCAAUAUGCCACAAAGCUUUUAACUUAAACUUAUAAAUCAUUAGAUUUGAGCAAAUAAUGCAUGGUUUAUUUAGAUACUUAACAAAUUAGACCAUAUUUGGUCAACAAUUAACUAACUCGAGUCAUGAUACACUCAAAUUAUUAUUAUUAUUGUUAUUUUCUUAGCAUAGCAAAAAUAGCAAAAACCAUCAGCGAGAUAACAUAGUUAUAUCAUGAUUAAUCUGAGAAUCAACAGUAUUCAUCUUCUCUUAUUAACAAAAGUCUUCAUUAUUGAAAAAUCUAGUCUUCCAUCACAGUCUAUAUUUUUGACCAAUUUAAAUUGACUUGGUCCACUAUACUUUCGCUGCACAACUUUGAUCAAUAUUCUCUAAAAUUUCUUAAUGAUCCCAGAUCAUCAACAUUUUUUUUUUUAUAAUAUCCAAGCAAAAUUUUUUCCUUGCUUCCCAAGUACACUAGGUCAUGAUUAAACCUUGAGAUAGUUGUCAUAUUUGUACCAUCAUAUAAUCAAGUAAUCAUAUUCUAGAUCCAAAUUUGAACUAAGCCAAUUCUAGUUUCCCUUGACAAUUCCAUUAUACAAGUUGAUAUUUAUUCUAAGCUUCAAUAAUUAAAAGAUUCUAUAUUAACUUACUUAGGAGCUUACUCAAUGAUUCCGAAUCCUUUCUUUUAGGCUGAACUUAUUUGGGCCUCUCAUGAAAUCCCACUUGCAUUUCUCAUAUGGUGCUACAAAAUCCAUAAUCAACUCAUGGCAUUGAUUUAUAAAUAUUUAACUCACAAGAAUCUAAUAAUCUGGUUCAAAGAUUUACAAGAAAUUCUACGAAGAUAUAAGCUCUAUGAUUUUACAUUGAGAUCAACUCCUCAAAUAAGUAAAAUAUUUUUAUUUGCAAUACUGCAAACAUUUCAGGAUCUUGUAAAUCUACUGGACUUAGAGAAUUUACUAAUAACACAAUGAUAUCCAUAUUGAUCAAAAUCAAAAAUACUAUAUUUUCCAAUGAUUUUUUUUUUUUGCAUAGUAGAUAGAAGUCCCUACACUAAUGACACCAUGAUAUCCAUAUCAGUCAAAAUCAAAAACACUAUUCUUUUCUUUGACAUUGAAAUUCUCCUUAAUAAGAAAAACCAUCAAAAACUAUUUCCAAAUCACAAAGUUAAUAUCGCUGACCAGCUUAAAAUAAUUUAAACAACCAAUAUUCUCAUAAUUUACUAAAUCACUUCCAAUUAAAAUACCACUCUGCAUUGUAAUUUGAAAAGAUCUAAAAUUUCAAAUUCUAGGUAAAGCCACAGGAAAAUUCUAGAAUUUCAUCCCAAAUAUGUUUUCUAUCUACACAAGAGUUUCAUCAUGAUCCACAUACAGAUUUCAAUCCUCGAAGAAUAUUUCAAUGAAUAUUACAAAAUAUUUUCUAGUCCAAACUUUAAACAACCUUUUAUAAAUGAACCUUAAUUUGCCACCAAAAUAAUUAUCUUGAACUAGAGGCAAUAUCCACAAUGCCUGAUAUCAAGUUAAACUUUUAAAAUAAUUACAUUGCAUGAUAAUAUCUCAUGACUAAUAUUCCUUCACUUAGUUUAGUCAAAAUCUGAUUAAUCAUAAUUUGAAAUACAAAUUGUUCCACCAAGAAAACUCUCAGAAUAGCUUAUCACACUUUGGUUACAGGUUGCAUUCUAAUUUUAGCAUUUCAAAAUUCAGAUAAAAUAACAUAAAUUUAUCAAUAGCAAAAGCAAAAAAAUACCUUUGUCUAAUGGCCUAAUGUCUACCCAUCUCUCAAACUUUCCAACGAAUCCUAAAGAUCCUAAAACUUAAUCCCCAUCCAACUAUUUCAAACACAAUCCCUAAAAAUCUGAAGCCUAAGCUCUGAUACUACCAAAUUUGUCCCGCCCCAAGCCCGAGGUGCGGCAGACGCUGCACGCUCGCACAGCAGGCCGCACAGGCGUGAAGGCAGCAAAUCACAUCAAAGCAAAUAUGGAUGCUUAAAAAUGACAUUAAUUUUUAAGUUGUUCAAAAGCAGUCUUACAAAAUUUCAAAAUAGCAUAUGCCAGCAUAAUUCAAAUGUCCAAGCUAAUCUAACUAAAGGACCGAUAACUGAAGGAAUCGUCGGAAAAUCUAACGCACUCCCCAAUCUCGUGCGAUCAAGCCUCUGGAUCUGAAAAAUAGAGAAAAUAGAAUAAUGAGCUACACUAGCCCAGUAAGCAACAAAAUAUCCCAAAGUGGGGUCAAAGCAUAUCAGAUCAAAAUACAAAAUAAUGACUGGAAAAUAAAUCACAAGUAACAUCAUUUUUUUCUUNNNNNNNNNNNNNNNNNNNNCGUCGGAAAAUCUAACGCACUCCCCAAUCUCGUGCGAUCAAGCCUCUGGAUCUGAAAAAUAGAGAAAAUAGAAUAAUGAGCUACACUAGCCCAGUAAGCAACAAAAUAUCCCAAAGUGGGGUCAAAGCAUAUCAGAUCAAAAUACAAAAUAAUGACUGAAAAUAAAUCACAAGUAACAUCAUUUUUUUCUUUUCAAAACUUAUCACUUUUACAAAAACUAUAAUAUCAUAAUCUCAGCAUAAUAGGCUACGGCCACGUAACCUAGUGGCAUGGAUUGCACAAAGUGCCAAAUUCACUAUUUUUAUCCACCGAUGGCAGCCGGUGUUGUACAAAAGUGCCAGACCCACUAUAUUUACCCACCAAUGGCAGCUGGUGUCCAAAUCCACUAUUCUAAUCAUCGGUGGCGCGGUGUCGAAACCAGUUUCUCACAGAUUACAAGUCGACAGGUCCAACGUAUGAUCUCCAUUGGCAGGGCCAGAACAGAACAGAACAGAUCAUAGCCAUGCUGAGAAUGCAUAUACAUAAAAAAAUAGAUUUCAUAAAUUAUCCAGCCAUAUUUUACGAAAUUCAGAGCAUAUAACAUAAUUUUCAAAUAAAAUUUAACAUGCCUGACCCUUUUUACUGAAUACAAAACAUAUGUCAAAAUUUAAUGAAUUUAUCAAAUAAUUUGAAAAUCACACUUGAAGUAUUAAGUUACUUACCUCUUUUUGCUUUAAAUCCCACUUCAGGCGAACAUAUCAGAUACACCUGUUUAAUUAAUUUCUUUGUUAAUUUUAGAGCUAAGCAAAACCAAAAUCAAUAUUAUUGGACACGGCCCAACAGGGUCCAGAGUUGGCCCAUGAUGGGCAUGGCCCGAUAGGGCCCACAUCGGACACGACCUAAUGGGCCUGCAUAGACCCAGCCUAAUAGGGCCCCCAAAGUUGGCCUCUAGAUGGAUUAUUCAUGCAAUAAAAUUUAUUGCAGGGACUAAUACUUAAUUACGGGGUACUGUUCUAUAAUAAAACUUGAGUGAAGGGACUAAUUAAUAUAUUUGAGGACCUUUACGUAAUAAAUAUUUCUUAUAGGGAUGAAACAUAAAUUACAGAAGGCUCUUUUGUGCAAUAAUAUACUAUCAAGGGCUUAACUGUAAAAUUUCAUUUAUUGGCCAAACGGGUUCGGGUUUCGAAUUUUGGGUUUCGGGUCUGAACUAGGUUUCGGAUUUCGAAUUUUCUUCUUUUUUUUGUUUCGGGUUUCGGGUUCGAACCGGGCUCAAGUUGGGCCCGCAGUGAAUAGGGCCCGUGAACAGGACCCUUUUUCUUCCCCAAACCCUCCACGAACAAGGGAAGAAGAAGAGGAGGAAGAAAGGACCGGGGGGGGGUCUAGGCGGCCAGCCUAGGUGGCGGAGGUCGUCGUCCGGUCGAUGGCCAGCCGGCCACAGUGGCGGCCGGCAGCCGUUGCGGUGGCCGGGGUCGAGAAUCAACCGAGAACGGUCUCGGUUCAUGAGGCCAAAGCAAAGGGAGGAAAGCAUGCUUGAUUCGACUAGAUCAAAGAGAUACAAGGGAAGAGGGCUUACCGGCAGUGGCGGAGGCGGCGGAAGGGAGAUCUCGACCGGGGAGGGCUCAGUCCGGCAACUAGCAACAGCGGCGGCGCUCGGAACUGAGGGGAUGGGUCACGGAACAGGGGAAGGCCGCGAAGGGGAUUCAGACGGCGCUCGGCCGGGAGAGCACGCCAGUCACCAGGCAAAGGAGGAGGAAGGAAGGAAGAGGAGAAGACGGAGGAGAGGGAGGAGGGCUUGAAGGUGGUUUUAGGAGGAAGAGGAAGGGGGUUUUUAUCACCCCCCUUGUAACGGCUCUCCGCCGCGUGAAUCGCGGCGGCCGAGCGAAAUCCGUGGCCGCGGAUUGGCCGCAGAUUGGCUGGAGGGGGGUGCCGCGGGAUGCCCGCGGCGCCUUCGCCCCGGUGGCAUCCGAAGGAGUCGGAGAGGAUCGCAAUAGUGAUCCUCUGUUCCGGCUCUUCCCAAAAGAGGACGCGGUUGAAGUCGGCUGGGGCUGCCGACUUCAGCCCGUAUCUCACAAUAUCAAUUUGUUGUAAUGAGCUCAAAUGUUGUGUUUUCUCAAUGACAAGAAAUGUAUUCAGUGGUAAUGUUCUUCUCAUUCAAUGACAGGGAAUGUAUUCCCUGAAAAAGGGAAAUGUUAUCAAUGAUUCUCAUUUGAACUACUUCAAAGAAGACGUUAUUAUAUUUUUGCUAUUGGUGUAUAAGUACUUGAUACUGUUGCCCAGAUAGANNNNNNNNNNNNNNNNNNNNAAAAACACUUAGACAAGAUUUUCACUGAAACACUCAAUUGAAUUCAUUAGUAAACAAAAGAUAUACUCAAAUGCUUUGAGCUCAUCAAAAUCAAAUAGAGUUUUAAUCAAUCACUCCACAGAUACCUCAUAGCAAUCUUGACAUUGUGCCGAAGUAAUGGUUCGCGCAUAGGUUCAGAAGGAGGUUGAAGCAUAUAGCAUUGUGAUUAUGUAUGAAACUUAUAAAACUCAUGUAUGAAACUUACGGAUGAAACUUAUGCAUGAAACUUAACUUUGUACCACUUGAAUAAGUAUGAAACUUGAUGUAAUAUGAUAUGGAAUCUGAUGAAACUUGGUUAUGUAUGAAGCUUGUGUGGAAUGUAAUGUUGGUUUCAGAUCUUUAUGAUGAACUCAGUUGGAUGGCAUGGUAUCACUUAAAUGCGUAUAGAACUAGCCAAUAAUGUGUGCUAUAGAAUUUCAUGAAAUAUGAUGUGAAAUGCCAUUGCAGAUUGGAAUGUCAUUAGAGAAUGUCAUUUAUUACAAAAACAGUCUUCCUAUAUCAUUAUAUAAUGUCAUUAUAGAAUGUCAUUGUAGAUUAUAAUUUCAUUACAGAAUUCAUGAGGUAUCAUUCGAUAAAGAAGAGUCUGAGGUGGAAGAUCCUUCAUGUUGUGCCGAGCCAUGGGGAUUCCAGUCCGGCUUGAAAUCCGACCUUGGGCGAAUGAUAGAACGAGUCGAAUGACCUCAUUCAACAUUAUGAAUAAAAACCAAAAUUAUGUAGGUUGCAUCUCUUAGGGUGCACUUAUAGAGCAAGGUUUGUCAUUCAGUUUUUCAUAAAAAACUGCAACUUCAAAGAUAGUAAGAUCUCUAGUACUCAGCAUUCUAGGGGUGACUUGAUUAAGAUAGGCGAAGCCAGAAACAAUCUUCCUCAUAGUUUCAGUGUCUCAAGCAUAAGGUGGCACACCGUACAGACGAAGCAUCACAUGAAUCUGCUGAUGAUGAGGGGCGGCCCUUUCUCUAUAUGACCAAGGUUGAACGGAGUGUGAAAAAUUCAUGACGCAUGGUGCCACGCUAGAGGGGAUGCAUUAGAGAGAUUCGAGCAGCAAAGGUGAUUAAGAAGGUAUUAUCACCUAGCUUAAUCGGGUCCCAAUCAAACCUUGGAUUAACAUGAGAGCUUGUGCAACUCAGAUGCAUUUGAAAGCUGGUCCCCCUCUCUUAUGGGAAGGAUGUGGACAACCCUAUAAUAGUGCUGCAAAUGAACAUCUCCAGUUGGCAAGAAAACUUUGAAGUUUUCUGUCCUUCCUUCGACAAAAAAAUCUCCCAAAUUAUCCAUGUUUUGGCCCACCCUACAAUGCUAGGAAAGACCAUUAAAACAAGUCAUUUAAAUUGCGGAUCAACUGAAAUUAUUUUCAUUAAUCUGGAAUGUUUGUGUACAUAUUUGAUAAGACCAUUAAACAUUAGCUACAAUAAGGAAUCAGGAAAGUUACAAAACCAAAACCAAACAACACAAUUCAAGGCAAACACGGCUAUUCCCUAUUAACCCCAAUCCUUCCAAAUAGUAGAGUGUCACGAAUAAUAACAAACACCCAAGAUCCAAGCAAUGCAUACUUGUAGAACUUCUCCUUCCCUAGAGCUAUUGCUUCCUUUUCCAUAGCUAGUUUCUCCUUAGCAUAAGCAAUUUCUCCCUUUUCUAUCACAACAUCUGCCACUUGUUGAAGCCUUGAGAAUUUAUCCAAAAUUUUAGCAGUAAAUUCAAUCCCACUUAAAGUACUUUCAUUGCUCAUCAAUUCAUAAAACAAUGUUCCAAAUACUCAAAUUUUCUCUCCUAUCUAACUAGAAAAAUAUGGAAAUCAAAAAAUAUUUCCUAUGGUCUAUGAUGUUCUAACAUUUGAUCUUCCCCACAAUCGCAAAAAAUCUCUCUGUUAUUACAAUUGCUUGCAAAAAAUAAGAUUGUUGACAUGCUUUACAACAUCUAUGUCCGGAUUUUUUCCGAAAUUUAACAAGUUUUAGAAUGGAAACGAGAAUUGGAAAAUGUGGCUUACCCGAUGGCUUCCUUCUUGCUCCUCUUUCGGAUUGGUGAAAAAACUCUUGGAUUUGAAGAAAAGGGAUUAGAUUUAGGGAAGUAAGCUUUAGUCUAGAGAUGAAUUUUUGCAUGAAAAGGAGAAUUUCUAAAAAUGGAUUUGGAUUUGAAGAAAAGGAGAUCAAAUCACGUGAAAAUAAGUUCUAGCUCGUAUGGUGAUUGUAGUUAGAAUGUCUUAAUUGUUAGAAAAUAACACACAUAUGAAGGUUAUUAUUGCAAUACAAUUUUCAGCUUUAUGGUGGCAAUGAAAUUUAGUUACCAUUGCAUAAGAUUAAGUUUUUUCUGUGACAUUCUCAUUAUACCUUCUUUUAUAUCACUAGUUUAGUCUUAUGUUUAGCUCAAAUCUAGCUUAAGCCAAUUGUAGAGUAAGAUAAGCAUCUGAGCCAGGAGGCUAACCAUAAUAUCUUGACAUCUCUUUUAUUAUUUUAAAUAAGACUACAAGAUCAAAUAACUAGCCACCUAUCAUGUUAGGCAUGCAUGUUUGAAGGCUUUAUUCUAUCUGAUUUGAUUGGGUGUAUUCGUACCCAUGUUGUAUGAAAUGCCUGCUUUAACACACAAAAAAAACCAGUCUACUAUUUUACCAUUUCGCCAUCAUUUGUGUCUAAGAAUAAAGCAAGAAUACGACUGGAAUAUUAGUUAUUCCCUUCCAACUUUUUUAUUUCCAAAGUGAAUAAAAGCUAGAAUACUUUUAUAUGAAAGAACGCAUGCCCCUUUCUACUUUUGCUCAUUUUAUUUAGAGACAAAAACAUCCAUAACCUAAAAUUAUUAUAAGAAUUUUAGCCAAGCAAUACUAGAAAUAACAUGCGAAAUAACAAAAGCUACUGCUAUUCUGCUUCCCAAACACAAGGCAAACCUUCUUAUUUCCGUGAAGCAGGAAAUGGUUUUGAGAGUGGUUUCGCCGGUUGAGUUUUCUCGGAGGUCCCUAACAUUUUUAUAUUUAUAUAUCAAUCUUUACCUUUUUAUAUUUAUAUAAAAAAAUUAUAAGAUUGUUCUUUUGUACAAAUCCUAGUUUUCAUUACUCGGGCCUUUUUUGCUCUUUUCUCCAAUUUACCCUUGCUUGAAACUUGCGGCCAGGGGCACAAGAAUUCAAUCAAGGGGACUUGGCCCACUGUAGUGAGGCAUGGUUAAGAAAUUGGUUAGGCAUGAGAGUUUGGAAAAAGAUAUCCAAAAAUAAUAUAAAAUUAUCAUAUUUUAUAGAAUAGUAAACAAAAUAUUUUAUUAUCAUCUAAUUAAUUUGAGAUAUAUGGAUUAAAAUUUAAAAUAGAAAAAAUAUGUAUUAGUAUGCAAAUAUUAAAAAAUUAAAAAUUAUUUAAAAAAUUUAGAACUUGUUUGGAUGACUAGGCUGAAAUUUUAGAAAAUUCAUAGCUUAAGUUAUUAUAAUUAUCAAAAUUAUGGAAUUAUAUGUUGGGUUAGACUUAUAUUGAUACCCCGAGAGGUAGCUUUAAUGUUAAUGGCCCAAAUUUCAUAAGAAACAAAAAUAUUUUUUUGUAUUUUUUUUAAAAAAUAAGGAUCGGUCCACCUCAAAAUUAUUUAGGAAUGUUUAGAUUUAGUUCACUUCUAUAAUCCUACUCGGCGUGGAUUUUUCUGGUCGUCGGGCCGUUGGGCGUUCGUGUUUCGCUCUUCUUUUUCUUUCCUGUUAAGACGGCUUCUUUGAUCGUUUUGAUCGUCUGCCGUGAGAUGGUAUUGGUUUUCCGGGCCAUGGAAGAAGAGUGCACUUUAUGAAAAGAAGCUGAGGAGUGAUGGCAUAGAUUUACUAGCAAAGGUGCCUCCUUUGCCACCAAGGUGGUAGCUCAGUUGGAACGGGGCGUUUGCUUCCAACCAAGUGGUUCCAGGUUUGAAACGCGCGGACGUCGAUUAAAUUCGGAGACCGGAUGCCCCACGCUUGGACACGGAGUGUGGAAGCGCUACUGUUCGGCUGGUAGCUUUGGUGGUGCCAGGUGUGACAUACUCACACGGAGGGUUCAUGCCGGAGCCCAAAGGGGAGCCGGCCCACGGAUGGGGAGGGUAUGAGUAAAACCGGCAGGGGUGCCCAACACAUAGUCAUUUCUGCCCGCAUCGAACAUUCUCCUGGCGGGGUAGGGGCCCAGUGGGGGCUGCUAUGCGGGGGUGGACUUGGCCCUUCCUCCCCCCAUCCCCUUUUUUAAAGAAAAAAAAGGUGCCUCCUUUAAGAUAUGUUGUCAUCAUUUCUUCGGCUAAUCUCUUUAUUGCUUACAAUUGAUUGUUAAUUAUCUUUUAUUGAUGGUUGUACUAGUAUAAUAGUUAAAAUUUGAUGCAGUAAAGAUGCAAUAUCAAUUUAUGCUAAUUAUAGUCUUAAUUACCAUAUAACAUUGGAUUAUUUGAUUAAUUCUGUGAUUGUAAAGGAUAACCGCAAGCUUGCGCGCAGACAGCUUGAUAACAUGGAACUUCUAUGAAUCAUCCUAUAAAUUACAAUAUUGUGUUUUCAUGCCCAUAAUUGCAUGUUUGCUGGUCCGCAUAUAUUUCAAGUUCUACCUUUGUGGUCACGAUAACAAAAAUUCUAACAAAGCUUUGCAGGUUGAUUGAUGACCAAGAUGCCUGACAUUUUAUUGCAGAUGCGGACCAUUUAGAACUUGUCAUACUUUUCUCUGAUUGAUUACAGCCAAUCUUGGUUCUGACGCUUUUUGUAGGGUUCCAUAUCUGAUUAAUUCUUAUGAAUCCCACAUUUUGUCUUUCUGUGCCAUAUCCUUAAGAGCAAAUUAUGCCGAACCAAGCCAAAUUGCCUGGUUUGCCCUAUACCUAACUAAACUGAUGGAGAAUGGGAUCGGUUUGGCUCUAAAUUUCGAAACUGCGCUGAACCAUGCAGUAGAGUAAAAUCAGUCGAGCUGGUUUGAACCGAUUCGAGCCUCCCACCUCUUUAGAAAGCUUGAAUCAUGGUCUAUUAAACUGGUUCACCCCGUACCGAACUGGUAGCCGACCGGCAUGGGUUUUGGUAUUGGUUUGGCUUACUUUGCUUAAGAGACUUAACAUUUACCCUGUUAAAUACUGUUUCCUCAUUCUUGAUAUUUUCAUGCCUCAUCUCAUCUCAUCUUGCUAUAAUUAAUAAUGUUAGAUAUGAUGUGUUUUAGAGCCCAUGCCUUAUAUAGCUUUGUAACAAAAAACCUAAAUAAACAUGCACAUGCAAAGAAAUGUAAGGUAGUGGUAUUAUUUCCAUGAUAAUAUUGCUUUCUUUUAAUUGUUGAAACUUUCAUGCCUCAUGUUAAUUAGAUGUAAUAUCCAUUUCUCUUGACUUUUGUGACAUCUUUAAUGAUUCAACAUCUGCAUCUCCAGAUGUGGGCAGCAAAUACUCAAUUAAUCCAAAUCUCAAAAUAAAGUGUAUGUGUUGAGUGAUUGUUGUUCCCCUAUUUGAUUUUGAUGAGCUCAAAACACUUGAGUAUAUUUUAUAUUAUACUAAUGAAUUCAAAUGAGUGUUUCAGGAAAAUACUGUUGAAUGUGCUAGAAUGAUUUAAAAAUUGGUUCAAGGGCUUUUUAAAUUCCACCUUUACUAUGUCUGGAACCAAUCUCAAUUUUCACCAUGCACUCAAGUCGACUCCAAAGAUUCUCGAGUCGACUCUGGCACAAAAGCUGUUAAAUGGCACACCGUCAAGCCGACUCCCAGUUCGAGCGAGUCAACUCCUGAUGGAUUAACAAAAAGCAGGAUUUCUAAGUACAGAGCGCAAGUCGACUCCGACUGAGACCGAGCCGACUCUAAGAGCAAAGACAGAAAAGUAUUUCUUGAGGUACAGUGCCCGAGUUGACUCCAACUGUAGUCGGCUCCUGCAAAAAGACAGAAGAUCAGUUUUCAAGCUUACUGGUCUCCAACUGAUAUCGAGUCGUCUCCAAUUAAUAUCGAGUCGACUCCAACUGUAGACGAGUCGACUUCUGCGAAAAGACAGAAGACUCAUUUUUAAGCCAACUGAUAUCGAGUCAACUCUAGCUAUGGACAAGUCGACUCCGACAAGAAAGACAGAAGAAUAUUUUCUGUGGCACUGCAAUCGAGUCGACUCCAGUGAAGGCCGAGUCGACUUCAAGGACCAAGUCAGAGAUCGAGUCGCCUUCAACUGAGAAUGAGUCGACUCCAACAAGAAAGGCAGAAGGUCAGUUUUUGAUACACUGUGCUCGAGUCGACUCCAACUGUGCUCGAGUCAACUCUAAUAAGGGAAGACAAAAAAAAAUCAGUUUCUGGUAUACCGAGACCAAGUCGACAUCUAAAGAUUGCGAGUCAUCUCUCGUUUGGCGAGUCGACUCUUAAAUGUCGCGAGCCGUCUCCUAAAAGAAAUGCCUGGGUAGUACUAUUGGAGAUACAGUGAGCGAGUCGUCUCCUGAAGGACAUGAGUCAUCUCCAGUUUCAGCCGAGCCAUCUCCUAGUCCCCUGAGUCGACUUCAAUCUCAACGAUCAUAUUGUCAUGCUGCACAGUAAUAUCAGAACGGCUCUUUUACUCUCUCUAACGGCUAUUUUUCAAAAAGAAGAGUCGUGAAAAGUGUUUAAAAGGAGAUGGAAGACAAGAACAAAGUAUCCAUUGAAGAGCAUUCAAGAUUACAUCUUUCCAAAAGAAAGUUUAGAGCAUUUUUGAAAAAAGAAAGGGGAGUUACUACGCUUACAUUAAUUUUAGAAAUACUCCUCACAUUCAAGGCUCGAUUAUCUGAUCCUCAACCACUUAAGCAUUCAAGAGAGGAUCCAGAAAAGAAGAAGCCAUAUCUUUUCUCAGCAUAAAAUCUAUUUGAGAGUUUCUACCUUUCUCAUAUUGUUUAUAUAGUGCUAUAAUUUAUAUAUUCUGUUUUUUUGUUUUUUGAUUCAAUUAGGGGAUUGAAUCAAGAGGUUUAAGGAUUGUUGGUGAGCCUGUGUAAAAUCAACACUGUGUAGGUUGUAGUUGGUAAUCCCGAAAAAAUCAACUGGGUUGGAUUGUGAGCCUGUGAAAACAAUCGGGUUGGUUCUAAUUGGUGAGCCUGUGAAAACUAACCAAGUUCGUUGUGAUCUCGUGAAAACAACAAGUUAGGUUGUGAGCUUGUAAAACAACCGGAUGUAAUCCUAGGGAUUAUAGUGAACUCCCAAGUGAGGCUUGGGGAGUGGAUGUAGGAGCAGGGUUGGCUCCGAACCACUAUAAAAUUUCAUGUGUUUGUAUCAUGGUUCUUUGAGCGUCUUUUCCAUAUUGGUUUAUUCAUAAGUUGAUUUAUCUUCUUAGAUUAAAAUCAAGAAAGCUUUUAUAAGAUUACUUAAAAAGUACCAAAGUUUUAUUAAAACCCAAUUCACCCCCCCCCCCCUCUCUUGGGUUGUCUGGGCAACAAAUAGUAUCAGAGCAGGUGCUCUUAUAGUGAUUGUUGUUCGAAUCAAACUAGGGUAAAAGAUUAGAUGACAACUCAAUUCGGGUCUUCCCUUGCAGCUGGACAGUCAACCAAUAGGCCACCACUGUUUAACAGAACUAACUAUAGCUAUUGGAAGGCUAAAAUGAGAAUUUUCAUUCAAGCCCAAGAUUAUGAUGUAUGGAGCAUCAUUGUAAAUGGACCACACAUUCCUACACACACAGUAGAUAACAUCUCUAUUCUCUAGCAUGAAAAAAAUUGGGAUGACAAUGACAGGAGAAAAGCCCAAUUAAAUGCUAAGGUUAUGAAUGUCUUAUAUUGUGCCUUAGACCCUAAUGAAUUCAAUAGGAUCUCCUCUUGUGUUUCAGCCAAAAAAAUAUGAGAUAGACUUGAAGUUAUCCAUGAGGGUACUAAUCAAGUAAAAGAGUCUAAGAUAAACAUGUUAGCGCACAAAUAUGAGCUUUUCAAGAUGGAACCAACUAAAAUCAUUACUUGCAUGUUUACUCGGUUCAUUGAUAUUAUUAAUGGGCUAAAAAGCCUAGGUAAAUCAUAUUCUAACAGAGAACUUGUUAGGAAAGUGCUGCUUUCUCUACCUCGGACGUGGGAGGCAAAAGUAACGGCAAUUCAAGAAGCCAAGAACCUCAAUAUACUUCCACUCGAAAAACUUCUUGGAUCCCUGAUGACCCACAAGCUAACUAUGAAGCAACAUACUAAGGAUGAUAGCCAAAGAAGAAACGUAAUAACACUCAAAUCUACUACUAACAAAGAAAGUGCUUGCAGCAGCAACAGUGAAGAUGAGAAUGAGAAAGAUGAGGAAGAAGCUCUACUUAUGAGGAAGUUCAGGAAGUUUAUGAACAAAAGAAAGCCUUACUACUAGAAGAGAUAUACCUCUCAUACCUUCGACAAAGAGAAAGGUAAAGAAAAAGAAAAAGAGCCAGCCAGAUGCUAUGAAUGCGAAAAAUCGGGACACAUUAGAGCUGACUACCCAUUAGUGAAGAAGUUUGGAAAGAAGAAAAGGAAGGCACUCCUCACAUCCUUGAGCGAAAUUGAAAGUUCAUCAUCAGAAGAAGAAUCACAAGAAAAGAGAAAUCACUGCCUUAUGGCUGAUGAAACUAAGGUAAACUCUGAAUUUCAUCCUGAUUUUACUUUUGAAGAGUUAUAUGAUGCAUUUAAUGAACUAACAGAUGAAUGUAGAACUCUAACUUUAAAGAAUAAAGAAUUAAAUCUAUCUAAUCAAUCUAUCAUGUGUAAAACAGAAAUCUUGUCAAAAGAAAAAGAAAAACUAAUUAAAGAAGUUUCUGAAUUAAAAACAAGUAAUCAAUCCCUAAAAGAUGAAUUAACCAAUAACAUAAACUUACUAACUAAAAAUCAGAAUUUAAGUAAAGAAGUUAAUAAAUAUAAAUCAAUUGUUGAAAAGUUUACUUUUAGUUCAGAAAGAUUACAAAUGAUUCUUUAAAGUCAAAGAGUUAUUUUUAAUAAAGCUGGUUUAGGGUACAAACCUAAAGACAAACACAAAUUACUUAAAAAUCUUUUUGUAAAAACUAAAGAUACUCAAAUUGAAAGCUUAACAUGUUUCUGCAGUAAUAAAAUAGGACAUAAAACAAACAUAGUUAAACACAGAAAAACAGAAAAUCAAAAGAAAAAAAAACAUGUUUGGGUUCCAAAAGGGACUACUUAUACUAACCAUGAAGGACCCAAGAAAGCUCGGAUACCUAAAUUCAUUUGAUGUGUACUUCUAGGAAUGUCUUACGGCCAAACACAAUGAAAGAAGUUGGUACUUAGACAGUGGCUGCUCAAGACAUAUGACGGGUGA
This 84171-nucleotide long non-coding RNA is filed under the name Phoenix dactylifera (date palm). RNAcentral's name for it is "long non-coding RNA (PDAC_LNC006226)". Lineage: Eukaryota; Viridiplantae; Streptophyta; Magnoliopsida; Arecales; Arecaceae. The record is from RNAcentral.